RNAcentral lists this long non-coding RNA (71303 nucleotides) under Coffea arabica (coffee). RNAcentral's name for it is "long non-coding RNA (CARA_LNC001691)". The record is from RNAcentral. Lineage: Eukaryota; Viridiplantae; Streptophyta; Magnoliopsida; Gentianales; Rubiaceae.
UUUUUUUUUUUUUUGGGUGUGUUGUGAUUAACAUGCUUUAUUAGUGGAAUGGAUGUCAUUAAUGGAAUUUCAGUUUAGUUUAGUGCUUUGGCCCUGACUUUUCAAAGUGGCUUUGAUUGUCUGGGCAAAAGUAGUCAACUUGACCUCUUGUAUAUAAAUUUUUAGCCCAUUAUAUUAGUGGUAAUACUGAUGGAUUUCCGAGUAUAGUUGUUGGCCCAGAUGAACUUCAGAUAUUCUGAAAAAAGGAAUGAAAAACCCGUGUGGGUAAAGAAAACUACUUGAAUAAUAGAAAUCAUAAUACAAAGUUUUUUUUUUUUUUUUUUUUGCACAGAGAACAAAUAAAUUGAUUUCACAUGAGUCAAAUGAUAUGUCUAGAGUAAUUGAACUUUUAUUUAGUAGAUAAUUGGAUUUAAUGAGGUAUAACAAGCAUCUCAAUUGGCGAAUUGACAUGGACAUACUGAAGAUUUACACUGGUUUAAUAACUACUCAUUUUUACCUUUCAACAAAUUAGGCCUCGUUUGAAUUGCAUUUUUUGCAUAAAAAUGUUGUGGGUUUUCGUAAAAAUAUUUUUUUAUUGCAUUUUUUUCAGUCACUUUUUUACCAUCAUACGUUGCAGUUUUAAAAAGAAUGUUACACUACGGCCUUGUUCUUGAUUGCAUUAGAAUUUAUUAAAUUUGAUGAUAGAGAAUAAUCAUUAUCAGUAAAAAACUACUUUUUGGGUGAUUAUAAAUUUUAACUUUUUUUUUAUCAUUAACAUAUAUAUAAUCAGAUUAAAAAAGCAACUGAGAACAUGGCAAAAAUAGAUUAUCGAAAAUCAUAAUCUAUAAUCAAUUGAAAUAGUCAACUGAGAACAAGCCAUAUAUUUUUUAACAAAAUAUCUCAAAAAUUUGUAAUCUAAACAGGCUCUUUGUGUUUAAAUUACAAAAGAAAUACAUUACGUCCAACCUUAUAAAGGAUUUGUCACAAAACAAAUAAAAAGUCAUAUAAGAAUAAAAAGGCAUUAAAAAAAAUGGUCAUUUCACAGUUUAACUCAUUCGUUCCCCUUACUGUGAGAUAAGUGAUGCAGUAGUAGUAUGUAACCUCCACUUAUGUCAUUUCGAGUACCAUUAAAGCAUUUACAUUCUAGCAUUUAACACAUAAUAAUGGUGUUUCACUUUCUCAUUUCUACCCUUCUAUUUUUCACCCCAUCCUAGGACUAACGGAAAACCCCUCAUAUUUUCCCAAAACAAAAAAAAAAAAAAAAGACCCCCUCAUAUGUACCAAAAGUGGCUAAAAAAGAGUAAGAGACGAGUUCUUGUGGCAACAAUUACCCCCAAAAAAAAAAAGAGGUUGAGUAAAAAAAAAAAUAAAAAGGAGAAAAAAAGAAUAAAUGAAUUAAACUAUUAUGGCCAAUGUAAAGCGUGAGAAGGAAAGUUGGAGGCAAUUAUUGCUGCAUAUGCUGACAACUUAACCUGGGGAUGACACAUGGUGAUAGAGCAUUUAAACACAGAUGAGAGAUUUGAUUGGCCAAUAGGGAUUUUGAGGGUGCUGCUUGCUUGGCAUUGAUCAGAAUACUAGAGUCCACACGUUGCCUGGUUACUUUUGGAGGGUAGCCUCAGCCCGCUAACAUUUUGGUUGUUUGCCUAGUUUUGAAGCAUGUAGACUAUCCCCAACUGCACCAACAGGAACACAUAUAAGGUAGUAGAAAAAUGCUGCUCUUUCUGGUUUGCAUCCCAAGGAGGUUUGUUUGGUAAUUUUGCCUUGCACCAAGCAGGCAAAGUAACUGACUUGUUUGAACCAACUGCUAUCGCAGCAGUUGACCAUUUUUGGAUUGAGAAUUAUUUGUCAAAAUUUAUUUGUUUACAUCAUCAUUACAAUUUUCAAUACACCUUUUUAUCAUUCCAAUUACCUUUUUAUCUCACAUACAUCACAUCACAAAAAGUGCUACAGUAAAAAUAUCUCAAAUAAUUUACAAUCCAAACAGAGCCAGAGUUUUAAAAUUCUACAUCGAUGUAAACUAAGGAAUCAAAUCCCUUGCACCCGUGAUGGUUCAAUCCCUGCCGAGUCACUUUCUUGACCCCUUCCAAUCCCUUUCCUUCUAGUAUAGAGUAACAGUAGGUGUAGUACAGAAUUUAUAGUGUCUGACAAAAAAAAAAAACUAACUUGUUUGGAUUGCCAUUUUUUCUUGAAAAGAUUUAAGUUUGCAUGAAUAUAUUUCUCAAUCACAUUUUUUUUAUCUCACAUACAUCAAAUCGCUGUAGAUAAUCCCCGACUUCACCAACAGGAAACAUAACUUGUUUGGUUUGCAUCCCAAGGAGGUCUGUUUGGUAAUUUUGCCUUGCACCAAACAGGCAAAGUAACUAACUUGUUUGGAUUGCCAUUUUUCCCAAAGAAAAAAAAAUUGUGAUUUCCGUGACUAUAUUUUUCAAUCAAUUUUUAAUGUUACACACAUCAAAUCACUGUAGUAUAUGUUUCAACAAAAAUUACAUAAAAUAGCAAUCCAAACAGGAACAAAUUGGCUAUCCAAUCGUACAGGUUGUCCAAGUACACCAAUUGAUUUUUAUCAAUUAUUUUCUCAGCAAGUUAAAAAUAACCAUUCUUCUAACAAAUUGAAUAUUUUUUCUUUCAUCCUGAGAUUUGUUGUUAACUUUUUCUUUUUUCAAUUUAGUUGUAUUGACUCAUAGAUGCAUGUUCACUAUUAUAGCUUGUGCCCACAUAAAGCUGUCAUGAUUCUCACACAGAUGUCGAUGAAGUUUGUUUGGAUAAGAAUUUAUUUGGAUGAUUUAUUUGAUCCAGUUACUGUAGUACUUUUUGUGAUGUGAUGUAUGUGAUAUAAAAAGGUGAUUGGGAAUUGUGUGUAUGAUGCAAGCAAAACAAAAUCUGAAAUAAAUCUUGCAAAUUUUCUUUGUCCAAACAACGCUUAAAUAUAAUUACAGUAGUGUAGAAAGAAAAGUUAUUUUAUAAAUGAAAAAAUUAGAGUAAAUUGCUGAAGUGGAUUUAUCCAAAUCAGAAUUUAACCAGCAAGCUCAGUAAAACAUUAGAAUUGUAGUACAAUAUUCUUCAUAAUUAAGAAACAUUAAAAUUUUUUAGUCGUUCCAUCCAACUAAUUGUGUUUGGAUUGCAUUUUUCGUCAUUUUUCAUAGAAAAAUUACUGUAGGAAUUUGAUAUAUGUGAGGGAAAAAAGUAAUAGGGAAAUGUGAUCACGGAAAACAACAAUAUUUUCCGACGGAAACAAGCAAUCCAAACAAGGUCAAAAAUGAUCUUUCUUUACAUUAUUGAAAGUGUCAAAAACUACACACGACCACAGGUCCUUUUGGUUUCUUUGGAGAAGGAAUGAAAGAUGAUACCACCAUGACCAUGCAUGCAGGUGGUACUGCUGACUAAUUUAUAGAGAUCUGGCAUUGUUCAGUAGUCAAGCGUAGUUACCUGUAUACAAAUUUGUCUCCAUAUUUGCAAGGCCGUCAAGUUUGACUCUGGUUUACAAUUUUCUUCCACAUUACUUGGUCGAUAUAUUCAUGAUUGUAUCACUUGCUUUUCCAACUUUCUUGAAAAGAUUCAAGAAGAGAAUGAGUUUGUAGGAGGUAAGGAAGGGUCCUCCAUCUCAUCUGCAUGUCUGUCUAUCUGUCUGUCUUUGAAUUCACAAGUUCUGAGCCAAAAAAAGAGAGGGAAUUGUAUUUGGAUGCGGUGAGGAUCCCCUUCCAUACUAAUUAACCCGUGCAGAAAUUGUAAUAAUUCAUUUUUCCCCCGGCCAAAUCAACAUAUUAUAAGCACAAAGGACAAAAACAUAAGGAAAAAAUCAUCAAGAACUGUUUUGAUAAGGCAUGUCCUUCUACCUUCUGGCCAGGUGAAUGAACACUUUGUUGAUGUUGAUUCUUCUGAAGUAUCAAAAGCACAAUGAUGAAUGAGCUGCCUGAGGGUGUCUCAAGUUGAGAUGCUAGCUAGUAAGGUUGCCCGUCAAAUCCCAGCCUAGUCGUCUUGGAUGAUUCCCUUGCCUUUUUACAUCAUUCAGAACCCCUUUUGCCACAACACUUGAAUGUCAGGAAGAUGAUAGAACAUGGCAUCAAAGAGUCCUGGAAACAAGAAACUUCCCAUAGGACGAAUUGAUGGGCCCUUGUCUCGUUAGCCGUUUAUCCUCUUGGAAUAAUGACGGGCUUCCAGUACAAAGCUCCCUCAAGGAAAUUGGCCAAGGAAAAUAGGAAAUAUGACGGCAUUUGCGGGUGGCAAGAUUUGCUCAAGCCCCCGGUCUAUCAGGAGAUUUUGGUUUCUGUCGGCGAAAGACGUGAAGGUUUUUUUUGGUGGACGAUGUGAUCAGUAGAACUGGGGGGCAAAGGCAUGUUCUUGCCCAAUGCUAUUCUGGUAAGAGUAGUAGUUUGGCUGUAUGAUGAAAUAUCUAAAAAAUAUGCAGUUGUCCGCAAUAGAAAUCAACUUAGUGGUUAAAAGAUUGUUUAGUUUGUACCAGAAAAAUAACGAAAGAAGGAAAAAUGCAAUGUCAACAACGUUGGUUUGAAAACCAAUUUUACUGAACAUAAACCACUAUCAUACUUCAGAAAAAAGAUAAACUAUGAAAUUCGAGUCAUUGUGCAAGAACAUGAAAGAGUAUCAAAAGUCACUACUCUCAACUCGAGUUAAAAUACUUAGAUUUGAACUCGAGUUAAAAUACUUAAAUUCGAAUUCGAACUCGAUCUUGUCGAAUUCUUGAAAGCCUAAUUCGAGCUCAAACUUGAUUUUAUUUUGCAUUAGCUUGAGUUCAUGCUCAACGAGUUCAAUUGAGCUUACUUCAAGUUCAAUAAAAUUUAAUCGAACCUAAUCAAGUUUAAGGAAUAUAAUUUAAUAUUUUAUAUAAUUUAAAACAAGAGACAAAAUAGACACUUCAUAUUAAUAAAUAAAAAAACUAAAAAACAUAUAUAUGUGAAACUCGAUUGAGUUUGAUUAAAUUCGACGAGUUUUUGAGAUUCACAUAUUAAAUUUGAACUUGACUCGUCAAGUAAUUUGAGCCGCUUGAGAUUGGUCAAUGUGAGUUCAAACUCAAGUAUUGACUGAGUAAGUUCGUAAGUUACUCAAUUUUACGGAACAUAAACCACUAUCAUACUUUAGGAAAAAGAUAAAUUAUGAAGUUUGAAAAGUGAGAGUUAGGGAUGUAAUCGAAUCGAAAUCGAGUAGUGCAUUAUUCGAGUUGGACUUGAGUUAAAAAUUUUGCACUCAAGUUCGAGUUUGUCGAACCCUUAUAAGUCUAAUUCGACUUUAAGUUCGAGUUCAAUUUUAUUUUGUAUUAGUUCAAACUCAUGCUCAACGAGCACAAUUGAGCUUAUUUUGAGCUCAAUUAAGUUUAAUCGAGCCUAAUUGAGUUUAUGAAAUAUAAAUUCAUAUUUUAUAUAAUUUUAAAUAAGGGACAAAAUAGGCAUUUCAUAUUAAUAAAAAAAAAUAUAAAACAUCUGUGUGUGUGUGUAAGAGAGAGAGAUUAAUAUGGGCUAAACUGGAGGAUACAUUACGAUAAGCCCAAAAAGUGACCCGUAUAUUUAAAAAAAAAGGAGCAAACGCAAACGAUGCAGCUGAAAAAUUCCGGUCCUUAUAGGCUUUAGCAAAGGCGCCUUGAUAAUCCAGUUCAAACUUGCAGGUUGCAGAUACUCUUCGCAAGCGUUUGACACUGGGAAUUUAUAGAGGGAGGAAGAUUGAUUGAAGACGUAGGACUAGAGGAACGAGAGGAAUCUCAGUUGCGCAUUUAAAUUUUGAUUAUUUGUAUUAGCAAACAAUGAUUCUGAGAACUCCAGCGCCGAGAAAGCGAAGGGCAGAAUCGGCGUUGCUUGAAGAAGAUAAUCAAUUUUUGAAUAGUCGUAGCCCUAAUAAUACUAAAAAUAAUGUUUCUAAUAGUAACAAGCAGCUGGUCAUCUACGAGGACUCUCCGUCGGCUCCGGUGCCGGAAUCGUCUCAUGACCAUCCUAUCACCUCCGACCAUAUGCUCUGUACUUAUCAAUGCCGUCAAAUGGUACUUUAUUCUUGUUUCAAAUUGUUGCUAUUUAUUUGAUGGAAAAUUAGUAGGUGGCUUGGCUAGUUCUGGAGUAGCCGAAGAGUUUAGGAGGUUUUUGGAUCCCUUGUAUGUUCAAUCUGAAUUCUUUUGAUUACUUUUUAUACAAUUUGGCGGUUCUUGAGCUGAAAAUGUGCGCGGCAUGUUUUCAUAUCGUUAGCUUAAAAAUAAGCUGAUUGUAGCCUUUUCAAAGUUGAAAGUUUUCUGGAUGUGUUCUAGUUUGCAUCCGGCCUUGCUUUUAGCUAAUUUUAAGGAGGAAAUAUGCUGAUUCUGAGAAAACAAAACUGUUCAGGUGCUUAAGACAACUGAUUGUCUUUUCACAAACUUUGAUAACAAAACAUGUUCGGAAUUUUUCAAACAGCCUUAUCAUAAUUGCUUGUCCAUAAUUGGCCUAAGACGAAGCUAACGAAGACAGGCCCCUUUCUCGGAUAUCAAGCAUUUUUUUGCUCCACUUAUAAUCUUCCCAACUGAAGUAGAAACUUUAUUAUGGAAAUAUUUCAGCUGCAGGUUUUCAUCUUGCUAUGUUUCUAAUAUACAGCAUGUCGUGCCAAACUUAGCUGUUUUUGGUAUGGUAGAUAAUUACUUAUUUGCACUUACAGAAAACGUUAUAUGUUUAGACAUCCUUUUUGCUUGAUAAAUCUGCUAAUGCUAUCACUUAUGGCUGCAAUACUUGUUCAUUGUUGCAGGUAAAAGCUGAGUUUUUUGAUGCUCUAAGCAAUGCAGAAAAACAGGCUCGUGAGUGUCAAUCCAAACUUGAUGCAUUGAAUGAAGAUUUUUGCAAAGCUGGUGGGUAACAAAAUAAUACAUGUUCAAUGUAAGAUUAAGAUCACUUGCCCCCCCCCCCUCUCUCUUUUGUGCAAUGAACUAUAAGUUCACUUAAUCAAGGUCUUGAUAUACAGGCUUGGUUAAGGUUAGCAAAUGCCUUACUGAAGUCUUGAAAACAUCUGGCAGUGUAAAAUACUUUUGUCUAGUUGAAAAAAUUAUCUAUAGCACCCAACUUAAUAUAUUUAAAAGAUUGUAAAUUUAUGUAUCAAGAUUUUCUCAGUGGUGUGUUUUCCACACUACAAGGAGCUGUACUCUAGGGUACUCAAAGACAGAGACAAAUUUUGUGAUCUAAUUUCCCCUGUUCUUUCUUUUGUAUGAAGAAUUUUUUUCUUGAUGAGUAUAUUUACUGAUGUCAACUAGUACUGUGAUGUGUUUGUGGCUGUUGCAGAAACUGAAAGGAAAAGAUUUCGAGACAAACUUUUAUCUGCAGAGCAAGAACUUGCAGCGGCAAAACGACGUGAACAGGAUCUUCAAGAACAGCUAAUGAAGGGGGUCAACUCUUCUGAAGAACGUCUCCGGAGACAGUUGCAGUUGUUUAAUGAGCUUGAGGUGCUUCCCAUACAGCUUCAGUUUAUGCAUGCUUAUUUUUCUUUUGUUCCUGAAGUUGGCUUACUUGUUCCUGAUGUAAAUUUAUGGAGUCCUGCUACUCCAAGUAUUUUGGUAGAGGGAGUUCAAUCUGCGUUGAGAUUUAUAAGUUUCACAAAUUUCUUUUCUAUUGCAUGAAGCACUGGAAUCUGGGUUAUAAGUGGGUAGAAAAUGGAAAACUGGGGCUGAUACCGGUUUAAUGCGUAAUUUUCUUACAGCACCAUAUCAGAGGCUUAUUUAGGAGCUUCCUUUUGAUUCUGCAAGUUUGUGCUGUGAAACCUGUGGCCAUGGCUUUUAUGUUGCAACGUGUCUCAUGUUUUUUUAGUUCUUAAUCAUUAUGCAUGCAGUUCUGUGUCAAACUAACAUUUCUUUGGGCUUGGUGUGGAGUAAAUACAUACUUUUGAGUACGUUGCAAUUAGCUUGAAUAAUUAUGGACACCACAUGAUAUGCUUAUAUGGUUAUCCUGUUUAAUUUUGUGUGUAAAAGUAACAAGUCACUGUUGUUUUUGGUUUUGUAGAUAAAGUUCCAAAAUGAGGUGAAUCUUCGCGAAAAGGCUCAAUCUUUGGCAGCAUUGGCUGAAGAAAAAGCAAGCGCACUGGAGGCGAAAUUACAAAAGGUCUCUCAGAGUACCGAAAAGGAGAAAAUUCGGCUCCAGAAUGAGCUUGCGCACCUGAAAAGCGAUUCAAAACUUUCUGUGUCCAGAAUUAGUGCAGAUGUUGGUAUGUAUUUGUUUUGCUUAUUUUUAUCAUGUUUAUUUGGACAUUUGUAUGUAAAUUUAUUCUUUUGGCUGCUUAGCUUGAGAGAAUGGAAUGCCGAGCUAAACAUGCAGAGGAAGAGUCAAAACUAUUGAAGGAUCAGAUGGAACAACUCAGAAAGCGACUUCAUGAGGUUAUAAAUUUCCUAGUUCUCAUAUUCUAUGAAGUGUUAGUCCUUGUUCUUCACCCAAGACUUUGGGGUUCAUUCAUUUGCUACGAGUCAUGAUUUUGGCUUUUCCAUACCAGCCUAUCAAUGGAUUUACUGAUUGACACGGAAUACUUAUUUUUGAAUUUAGCUUUCCUUCUUGAACUUUUUCUUUUUGUUAUUUUACUGUUGCCACAGUCAUGCUUCUUUAUUUGUUUUUUAGGGGUUUAAGUGUUUUGCUGAAAUUUUCUUACCAUUGGAUUAAGAUACUGAUCUUUCUUGUUUGACCAGUGCAUGCAGCAGAAAGGUGAGAUGGAGAAAAGGUUGUUACAUGCUACUCCACAAGAAUCUCCCUCUACAGACAGUAGUAUAUUGCUAAAGCAUUUGCAAGAAGAACUCAGGAAUUAUGUAAGUCGUAUUCUUAUCUGUUAUGAUCUAAAUGUGUUUUCCCUUCUUACUAAUUCCAAGUCACUGGAGAAUGCUGAAGAACCGAUGCCUCAAAUUUUGGGUACAUGGAGUUGGAAUGAUCCUGGCCUCAAAGUAUUUAUGUGAUUCGGUAUAGGACAAUUGUUGUUUUGAAUAUAUUCUAGGCACAACUGAAGAUAAUAAAAACCAAAAAGCCGAGAAAUUUAAGGAAAAAUGAAUUUAAUUACUGGCUACUAAGUUUAAUCAAAUGACGGAGUCCAAUGGGUACUGCUUCCUGUUUGCUAGAUUGCAUGGUCUUUACUGCACACUUGUAUGCCUUUUUGGUGUGUAUAAUGUACUGCAGAAAAUAGCUCAAAAUAGUGGGAAAGAGAUGUACAAUAUACCUCACAAUGGGUGUAUUUUCGGCUUGUCGCUUACAAAGAAACUAAUAGCAAGUCCAAAAGCUGGUAAUUGGACUUGCAGGGUGGCAAGAUGAUUCUUCUGUUCCAAAUAGUGCAUCACAGAAAAUCCUGACUUUCAAGUGGGAUAUACAGUAAUACAAAUCUUUUUUUCUUUUCUUUUUUUUUGGGAGAAUUUACCUAUUUAUCACUUCAUAUGGCCGAAUAGCCUCAAUGUACAAUAUCAGCUAGCUUUAUCUAGUUAUGCUGUUUCCUUGUUUCCUCUUCUGUAAAGACAGCUUACUUGUUUGAAAGUGCAUGUAAUGUUUUCUGUAUGAACUAUGAAAGCAUCUUUGCAAUUUUGAUUGCUCUUAAUAUCUUGAACUUCAGAUCAUCACGUAAUAUGGUCUGAAAAACUUCACAUGGUGGACUUAGUUUUAUUACUUCUCUUCUCUAUUUAUGAAGUCAUUUAGUUGGAAUGUUUUGUGUGUUGGCUACAAAAUUCUUUUCCCCAAUAUACAUUUCGGCCUUUGGCCACCCUACAACAACAAUACUUACUUCAUUUUUUGUUGGGAUUUUGACUGUUGAGAUGCUCCAAAUCAGUACUUCACUUUUAUUUUCUAUUGUUUAGUUUUGACACUGCUUUCCCUUUCUCACUGCUCAUAUGUACAAUGUAUCUCCUUUUUUUGUUUUGUGUCUUCCCUUCACAUUGCAGCUGUAAGUAUUUGAUAAGCCAUUUAAAUUCACCUUAAUCCAAUAAUCAGGAAUCUGAAGUACAUGAGGCAAGAAAACUGAAAUCCUCUCAUGAAAAUGUUGAGUUACUGAAGGAGAAAUUACAAGAAGAAAAGAGACGUAGAGAAAGGGCGGAGUUAGACAUCCUUAAAUUGCCGGAAAUCCAAUUGAGGAUUGAGAAGCUACAGGAUGAGUUGUCUGCUUGGAAAUCUUUGAUGAAAGAUAUUCCGGGCGUGUCAUGUGCUGAUGACGUACCUAUGAAAUUUGCAGCUCUGCAAAAGUAUGUAUUUGACGCAGUCCUACCUUUUGUGGUCAUCAACUUGACUUUCCAAAAGCAAAAGACUUCACUUAAUUUUUAAUUGCUAAAUAAAGGAGUUUCUACAUGUUUUGAAGAAUGAGUUUGGAUUUUAGUGCUCUCUUAUUCAUUAAUGCUGGAAAGUGGGUAGCUUAUACUAAAUUAAUAUUUGGUAUAUUUUAAUUAAUAAACCCUGUUUCUUUGGACAUCAUCUCUUAUAUGUUAAUGAAUAUUUCCUGCAUGUGGGAUUUUUUGACUUUGGAUUGGCAUCAUGUUCAGAGAAGUGAUUGAUAGCAUGAUGAAAGUUGGCGAGGCACAGGUACGUUUGAAAGAGAUUGAGGUGGCUCUAGAUGCUGCAGAGCUUGAUAAACAAAAUGCAAUUACUGAAGCUACAUUGGCUAAAGAGAAGGCAGAAUCGUCAAAGUCAGAGGUCAAGAGGAUUGAAUUGAUGGUUAGUAGGACAUGACUUUGCUGUUGUGCCUGAUAGUAUUUCUCUUUUUUCCCCUCUCCCAACCCUCAAAAAGAAGUUUACUGUCAUCAUAUUCAAAGUGCAGCAACUUUUGCUAAGCUUCUGCAGCAAAAUGGGACAUUCUUGUGUCUGUCUUCAGAAGCCAUUCUGUUUCUCUGUGAGCUGUAAUAAUCUAUUGGAAAAUUCAUGAUUAUUUUAUCUUACUAGUAAUAUAGAAAAUGCUUUUUCUGUAUGAAGAACUGAGUGUUCAUAACCUAAUUUGGGUCGAAGGGUGUAGGGAAUGAUAGAGGCAAGAGCACUUUGGUCUUCCUUUUUUCUGAAGCUUUGUCAAUUUGCUAGAACUGGUAAAGUUAGUUGUGCUUUUUCUUUUGACUGUUCUCUGAAGGUCUGUUUGGUGAAAAGUCAUAUGUAGGCCAUUUCAUGGUUCAAUGACUGGAAAUCUUAUGAUACUGCUCCAAGAUUGUGUUUUGAAUUUGAGGCAAUGAUGAAUGUAAACUUUAUGUCAAAGUUCCAAAAGCUACAUAGUGCAGGUUGAUUUUUCUGUUGUUUGGUUAGCAAUAAAUCAAGUACUGCCAUCUCAUUCCUCAAAACUCAGUUCUUGUCUGUAUUUUCUACAUUUAUGAGGUUUGCUGUGCUUGUUUGUGUCACUGCAGCUUGCUUCUGCUUUGGAAGAAAGAGACCGCCUAAAAAAUAUGUUUAAUGAAUUAAAAAGGGAAAAGCAUGCUCAGGGUGGGCCAGAAGUAACAAGCGGAGCACUUGUUCAGGUUGGUGUGGUCAAUGUUCUUCAACAUAUACUUUUGUGGAUUUUUAACUAAAAUGCCUGUAACUUGUUUGUGAGGAAAGGAGCUGGAAGCAUCUAUUGCCAAGAAGGAGAACUAUAUAAAGGAACUAGAAAGCAAUUUGCACGAGCAAAACCUUAUUAAUAUCCACCAGCAAAAUGAAAUUAAGUUGCUAAGUGUGAGGCUAACUGAUGAAGCCAGAAGAAUAAAGUCAUUAGAGAGGGAGGGUGAUCGACUUCGUUCUGAGUUAGCUCUAUUGGAGUCCAAGGUUUGUUUUCUAAACUACAAAUUUGCUAGGAUGUUCUGAUGUUUGCUGUCCCUAUCAUUCUUGAGCACCUUUUCACGCUUAUGGGUAUGGUAACCAAAUAGGAAGUGGCAAAAGACGCCCCAUUUUUUUUUAAUGUUUUUAUAAAAGAAAAGUGAGAGCAAAGAAUGAUGAUGAGCUACUUUGAAGUCUGAACUAAAUUUAAAAGUUUCACCUAUUGUACAUUAGAAGUUAGAAGGUUGCCAAACAAGAUUUACAAAAGGACUUUCUUAAGGCAAAAGUUAGAAUCAGCAGAUUUUUAGCAGACGAGAACAAGUUGUAUAUUCUUCUGUUCUAGCAUCAUGAACUUCUGUGUUGUAGUAGUUCCUUUAUUUAUUUAUUUUUUUGCUGCAGUUGGGGCAUGGCGAUUUUUCAUCUGCAAAUACAAAAGUUUUGAGAAUGGUGAAUACUCUUGCUGUAGACAAUGAGGCAAAACAAACAAUAGAGGCUUUGCAAAAUGAGCUGCAAAAGACAAAGGAGAAGUUACAGGCUGUUGAAGAGUUGAAAAAGCAAUCAGGUAAUCUGAGACUCCUGAAAGUGCAAGUGAUAGGAUAAUUAACAUGAAGUAUUCACUUUGUUUUGGUACUGUUGUCAGUUUCAAAUAUGGAUCGGCUUCCCAAUUAAGGAAGGAUUUGGAGUAGAUAGACUACUUUUCUCAAGAAUAGGCUGCCAUAAAUAUAUACAGUUGCAGAUUAAAUACUCCAGGAAUUUAGCAGUUGGUAGGCUUUUUUUUUUGUUUCAUUCGAAGCAUUGCCUGUUUGUUAGGCUUUGCAUUUGCUAGAAUAGGGUGAUUGAUUAGAGGAAUGAUGUUGUGAAAGGUAUGGUUUGAGUAAAACAUAAAAUCUUACUGAAAUUCAACUGUUGCAUUUCUAAGACAAAGACUAUCUGUUAUAGGCAUUUGAAAUUCAGGGAUUUAACUUUGGAGCUCCAAAAUGAAAAUCAGCCACCACCUAUAAACUUCAUAAGACAUCAGGACACUGGAGCAUCAAUUUACCAAUGCAGCAGCAAGAUAACCAACCUCUGAUUCUGACUUGACUCUAUGUCCAGUGAUUCCCCUAUUUGGUGAAUAACAACAGCUACCAUAAAGCAGACAAAUUGCCUAACAUGUGCCUCCUUGAAACUUUUGUUGGAUUUGUCAUAUGCUUUAUGCUGUAAAACUCUGCAAACAAGCUGGGUAAAGCAGCCCUUGGUCUUGGUCGCAUUGGUGGGUGAUGCAGAACAUGUUAGUUGUUGUAAGAAUGGAAAAUUACAUUCUUUGCCUCCUCUACCACAUUAGUUCAUUUCCGUAAUGACUUAAAUCAUUCUUUAAUGCCGCCCAUUAUUGCACUUUUUGGACACAAUGGUAGAAGGUGAAAGAUGCAGUUUGAUUUUCCUAAUUUUGACCUCUGCAAAGAGAGUAAAAUUGGAGGAUGUGGGAAGUUAAAUGGGGUUUGGAUUAUUUAUUUCCUGUCAAUUACAAUGCUCGCUGUGUCUUCACAAUUCUAACGAGUUGCUUAACUGGUUCAAGCUAGAAAGUUGAGGGCUUAGAUGUGGUGUAACUGAAAUCAAGGACCAGUGGUCCAUGCCACAUGAAUGGGGACCAACAGUGGAGUUCCAUGAAGAAUUCUUACUUUGAGAAACUGAGAAAAAUUUAACAAUCCACAACCUAGACUAUGGUGAUUAUGGAAAAGAAGUGAUGGUAAGUGGUGAAAAAUCAACUGCCUACAGUGUGAACAUAAUAAAAUGAUAGACCAUAUUGCUGGCUAUAUUUGAUUAUUGGUACUGGAUAAGGUGCAUGAGUAAGUAAUAGUAGUUUUGGGUGAAGAUGUUGGUAAACUUAAGUUCUGGAUGAAUGUGCUGUGACUGUCUCUUUGCUGAGUUAGCAGAAUGAUUGUAUGGAAGUGCAGGAGGCAGCUUAAGACAGUUAGACAGUUUUUGGACUGGUUGGACCAUCCUAAUUUGCUUGUAACUCCUUUUUGUCAAGUUCUGUAAUGCCUGACCACAAACAAACACCUCUAUUGGUUUUGUGUGUGUUCUAAACUAACUGGGCGCUAUGGAUUAAAAUCCUCAUGUUAUACUUGGUCAACUUCUUAUAAUCUGGCUUUGUUUUCUGUGGACAAUUUAGCUGAUGCUGGCACACUGGUAGACUCCUAUGUUUCUGGAAAGAUUGUUCAGUUGAAAGAGCAAAUUGCUACUCUUGAAAAACGUGAGGAAAGGUCAGCAGCUGGUGAAAUAGUCUAAAUAUUUGCUUUGCUAUUUAACUUUCUCAAGAGUAAAUAAAGCUCUGAAUACUUGAACAGAUACAAGACUGUAUUUGCGGAGAGAAUAUCAGUUUUUAGAAGGGCUUGCUGUGAACUUUUUGGUUACAAGGUAUUAUUUGCAAUUCAACUGAAUUUUAUUGUAGCUUCUCAAGUGACUGUUGCUGAAAUUGUAUGGCACUUGUUUUGUGGGAUAUUCCUGUUAUAAUGUGGUCUCAGAUUGUGAUGGACGAUCAUCAGCGACCAGAUGGAAUCCCUGUCACACGUUUUACACUCCAAUCUAUCUAUGCUCAAGCUGAUGAUGAGAGGCUUGAAUUUGAAUAUGAAUCAGGGAAUACAAAUAUCACGGUAAUCUGCAACUUUAUGGUUUCAUUUCCUGAUUACUUGAAUUUGUAAGCUUUCCAAAUUUGGAGGGUGGCUGGUAGUAAGAAAAAUUUAUUGUAUAAGUUUCAUCAAUAAUUUUUUUAAUCCACUUGACAUGAUUCUUUGCUAAUGAUCAUGUCACUAACCUACUUUCGUUUCCUUGUUUUACUAGGUGAAUGAUUACACUAGACAGCCUGAGAUAUCUCACCAGGUACGAAAGUUGAUUCACUUGAUGGAUGAUCUUUCUUGCUUGUUUGAUUCUGAAAACAAACAUAUUGAUUCCAUAAUUGCCACCGGACUUGUUCACCCUGUAUUAUGGGUGGUGCUGGAAACUAUCUCAUUCACAAGUGAAAUGUAGUUGUGAGGAUGUUAUUGACACUUGGCAAGAUAACCGAGCAAGAUUUGUAGCUUGCUAAAAUGCCUAAAGGGGAAGGUGAUAUGGUCUUUAUAUUACAGAGGCGAACUGUAUCUACGCUUUUUAUUGCGAGGGAGUUUGCAGUGGUUUUGAGAACUUCUCGAACCAAAAGGUGCAGUGAGGAUGAGAUACUAAGACUGAAGCUUAAGCAUUUAAAAGGGAUGGACUGUAUAUUUUUCGAUAGUUGAAAAAUGAUUUGAAGUCCCCUAAGAUCAAAAUCUGACCAUAUAGAAUAAGAUUUUGGAACAUUUAUGUGACCUGAUGGCAACAGUUAUUCCUCGAUUUUUGUUGUCUAUACAUAUGCUUUAUAUGGAUUUAUCUUGUGAACCCAUUGCUCGUGUGAAUACUUUUUUUUUUUGGCAUAAGUUGAAAGCAACUCAUACCAAGGAGGAUAGCAGUCUGUUUUGAAAACAAUGUUUGAACUACAAUUAUUAAAAAAUAAUAAUAAAAUUAAGCCUAUGUAGAUGUACAUGCUCAUUAAAAGUUACAUGUGCUGGAUGCCGUCAUCAUAUUCUUCUGCAUAUGUAAGUUCUGGCUAGUUGUUUGAUGUGGUUUUAAUGCUAGCCGCAUAUCCCACUGAAAAUGGUUUGUACUGUUAUGUAGUUACUAUGUGGAUUAUUAAAAGCUCUGAGCCAUGUAAAAGAAGAGAAUUUUAAAUUUAAGCAUUUUAUUGUGGUAAUCAUCAGCAAGAACUACUUAAUGCUUGUUUAGUGGAGAAGACAAGGAUAUAAUUUGAAGCUCAAAUGGUUCUUUUCCUCGUCUUUUUUCCAGGUUGAAAUAUUUAUCCGGAAGAUGAAUUCCAUCCCUGCUUUCACAGCCAACUUGACCAUGGAAUCUUUCAAUAAGCGGACCCUAUCUUAGAAUAUGCAAUGAUACCUUGGUGCUGUCCAUGUCAUCAUCGAUAAGGGGAGAUGAUGUUGUUGUGAUGUCAUUAAAUGUGUGAUGUCCUAGUGAUCGGGUGGUCCACCGAUUCUGUGGGUUCUCCACGGUGGAUGUUCUCAGCUACGUUUAAUUAGGUUAGCUUAUAAUCCUUUUGUACAAUCUGUGUGGUAGCAUUAGAUUAUUUUCAGUUCAAGUUUGUUGGUUUUUCAAAAUAUUUUGAUUUUGUAGAAGAGCCCGGAAUUUGUUUAUUCGACGAGUGAAAAAGCCAGCUGAAAAGGGGAAAAAAAAAGGAAAUUCUGGAAGAAACUCUUUCAAUUGAACAUUUUUAAGCCGGGUAUCUAACCGAUGGUUAGUGGAUUAUAUCUCGAGAAUCUAAUAGUAGUUAAUACCUACAUUAAAUCUUCAACCCCGUAAAAGGAUUGCUUGGUCGACUACUUCCCCAUAAUAAGGGUGCUACGAGGGACUUCUAAGCAGACAAUGUUGAAGACAAAGGUGCUAAGCUGUGGAGAGGUGGAAAAGUAAAGACAGCAGGAGCGGUCCUUUGUUUUGUUUAUGGACAUUGUCCUGCAGAGUGGGUAGACAUAAAUCACAUGUACAUUGUAGGAAGACAUUUUGGCUAUGAAUCUGAUGAAUGCAAAGGUAAGUGCAGUGGAUACCGCAGUCAAAUUUGUCUUCUUGUUUUCCAUCUUUUCCACAUUGAAAACGCAAGAUGCUGUGACAAGUAAGACCCAAGAAGCAAGGUGGGUAAUUGAUUCAAGAGACUUUUGAGAGGGAUGCAGCAGCAUUCGCACUUUUUGCAGCGUCCAAAACGGCCGUUGUCAUUGACUUGCUUUUAUUUGCUAGAAUAGUAAGUAGUACAUAUGGCAGACUCUGGUGCCAAAGUAUAUACAUGGUAGACUACGAAUCUACAGUUUGAUCAUAUCACAGUAUAUAUAUGGUAGCCAACAAACAUGUAUUUUUAGUUGAGUUUUUCUAACGGAUGUUCAUUGGGUACUCACUAACACACGCUAACAUUUAUUACCUUUGUAUUUAUAAUACUUUUCUUAAUUAAUCUUGGGUGUGUUUGGAUUCCCUGUUUUUGGGGCUGUUUUUGAAAAACUGUUUUUCACAUUCCAAAUGCUACAGUAAAUGUGUAUUUCCAAAACAACUCCAAAAACACCAUAUCCAAAUAUUAUAUCAAAAACAACUACAUAUGUAUAUUUCAAUUUGUAUAUUAUAUAUAUAAAUAUAUAUUAUAUUAUGCAAUAUAAAUUGAAAUUUACAAAUUGAAAAUUAUAUAUAUUAUAUAUUAUAUAAAUAUUUAUAUAAAUUAAUAUUAUACAUAAUACUAUAUAUUAUAGAUAAUAUAAUAUAAUAUACAUAAUAUGUAAUAUUGUAUACAUAAAUGUGUAAAUAUUUAUACAUAAUAUAUUAUGUACAUUAUAUUAUAAUAUAUACAUUAUUAAUGUAUAAUAUUAUUAUGUACAUUAUUGUAUAUAAUAAUGUAUAAUAAUGUUAUGUAUAAUAUAUAAUAUACAUAAUAUGUAAUAAUGUAUAUUAUGUAUAAUAUAUUAUAUUAUGUAUAUUAUAUUAUAUAUAUACAAUAUAAUGUAUAUUAUACAAAUUGAAAAUUAUAUAUUAUAUAUUUAUAUAUUAUAUAUUAUAUUAAUAUUUAUAUAAUGAAAAAUACAAUAAAUAUUACAAAUUGAAAUAUUAUAUAAACACCACAUUUAUAAUAUUAUAAUAUUUAUAAUUAAUAUUAAAGUAUAUUAUGUAUUUUAAAUAUUUAUAUAUUUAUUUAUACAUAUUAUAAAUAUUUUUAUAUAUUUAUAUGAAUAUUAUAUGUUAUAUAAAUUAUAUAUAAUAUAAAAAAUAUUAUAUAUUAUAUAUAUUAUACAUUUAUACAUAAUAUAUAUAUUAAUGUAUAUUUAUAAUAUACAUUUAUAUUAUUUAUUAUAUAUAAUAUAAUACAUUUAUACAUUUAUAUUAAUAUACAUAAUAUUAAUUUUAUAUUUAUACAUAAUAUUUAUACAUUUGUACAUUUAUAUUAAUUAUAUUAAUACAUUUAUACUUAAUAUUAAUAUAUAUUAAUAAAAUUAUAAUUUAUACAUUUAUAUAAUAUUCAUUUGUAAUUUAUACAUGUAUAAUUAUAUAGACUUAUAAGUUUAUAAAUAUAUUUAUAUUAUGUAUUUUAUAUAAAUACAUAAAUAUAUUUAUUUAUAAAUAUUUAUAAAUGUAUUAAAUGUAUAUUUAUAUAAAAAUAUAAAAAUAUAAAAAUUAUAAUUUAUAAUUUAUACAUUUAUAUAAUAUUCAUUUAUAAUUUAUACAUUUACAAUAAUAUACACUUAUACAUUUAUAAAUAUAUUUAUAUUAUGUAUUAUAUAUAAUAUAAUAAAUUUAUAAUACAUUUAUAUAUUUUUAUAUAAAUAUAUAAAUAUAUUUAUUUAUAAAUAUUUGUAAAUGUAUUAUAAAUGCAUAAAUGUAUAUUUAUAUAAAAAUAUAAAAAUUAUAAAUUAUAAAUUUUAAUUUAUACAUUUAUAUAAUAUUCAUUUAUAAUUUAUACAUUUAUAAUAAUAUACACUUAUAUAUUUAUAAAUAUAUUUAUGUUAUGUAUUAUAUAUUUAUACAUUUAUAAUAAUAUACACUUAUAUAUUUAUUUAUAAAUAUUUAUAAAUGUAUUAUAAAUGCAUUAAUGUAUAUAAAAAUAAAAAUAUAAAAAAUUAUAAAUUAUAUAAAUACCCUAAAAUAUGUUUUAAAAAUGCCUCUAAAAAUAAUUCAAAAAACAUUUACAGUAAAAGUUUUUCAUAUAGUUUUUAAAAAACAACUCCAAAAACAACUAAUCCAAACGGACUUGUAUUUCAAAAACGAAAUGCUACAGUACUGUUUUUGAAAAACAACCCCAAAAACAGCUAAUCCAAACGGAGCCCUUACUUUUUCAAAAAUUUGACAUGUCAGCAUACACUUUAACGAGAGUAUUUAUUGGACAGGAUAAUUUUAGAAACCACCCUUUAAUAUUUUAAAAUUACACAUAUCUCUCCUAUUGCUACAAAAGUACUCUACUACCCCUAUAUAGGAUACUUAAUGACAUUUUUUUUUGGAAAAUUUCAGAAAUUUCAAAAAAACCAAAAUUGACUUAUUCUAUCUCUCUCUCUCUCUCACUCUUCACGCUUUUUCCUUUCUACCUCACUCUUUCUUCCAUUUCCUCUUUUGCUAAAUUCCUACCACCCGUUCCUCUCUGCUUGAUAUUCUUCCUUCAAUCCAAGAUAAAUUCUAUCUAUCAUCCCUUACUCGUAUUUAUCCCCCUCAUUCCCUUCUUUUUGGCAAAUAAGAUUAGGUUCAUCCUUUUUAUCCUUUUAAUUCUAAGUGUAAUGGGUUUGAUUUUUCUACAUCUAUUUAUUUUAUCCAAUGUUGGUUGAUUAUGGGUGAUAAAACUUAGUGAUGUCAAAAGUCAAGAAUUUGAGGGAUGGAUGGGCUUUUAGAAAUAGGUGGUUGAAAAAAAAAAUAAAGAAGGUUGCAAAGAGAGGAAGACGAAAGCUGCGUUAUUGAUUGUUAAUGAAGUGUUAGUUUUGGGUAAAAUUUGAGGUCGAGUUUUAUCCAUUUUAGCACCAAGUGAUGAAUUUAAUUGGCUUGUGUAGUAAAUGUAGGGGUUGGGAUUAUUGGACAUAAAUGAAAUUUAUUUUGAUUUAAAUUGGGGUGUUUGCUUGACUUUUGGGGUGGCAUUGCUUGGAAGGAGGCAAUCAUCAUAGUUGAAUUUUUUUUUUCCAAACUUUUAUUUUUUGGCAGAAAGAGUUUGUUGGCUUUGGUGUUGGAAGAAAGGCAAUCAACAAAGCUCUUUUUAUUUUUUCCUUUUUAUCUUUUUGACAAAAGGGUAGUUUAGGGUAUUUGAAAGAAUUGGUAGCCUAUUAGGCCUAUUUUAAAGCAUAAAUAGUGAAAGCAAGGGAAAUGAAUAUAAUUUUUGAAACCUAAAGGGAGCUUCCUGAAAUUGUUAAAGACCUCAAGGGAGAUUUCUGAAAUUAUCCCUUACUGGGCAUUUGUUAGAUGGACUCUUUUUAAUUCACACUUCAUCUUUCAGUAUGUUAUGCUUAAUGCUCGACUGUUCAACGGUGGUGGUCAUGACUUCAAUUUGUCCUAUACUCAGUAUUCAAGGCUACUUUUAUUAAACCCCACCAACAAAUUGUAAGAAAAUCGUGAAAAGGGCACAAAUUGUAAUUGCCUUAGUCAUAACCAACUUACCACUUACCUUUACCUUUAGUAAGUUGGCCUAAACUCUUUUUUGAACUGUAGGUCGAGUGUUCGAAUGAAUUCUUGCAUCUAUAGUUAACAAAAAAUUCAAAAGUAUCAUAGUGCAUUUCUCGUCUAAAUGAGUUUUUUUCUUUCAACCCUCCCAUAUAGUGCAGUUGAACUCUCCUUUCUCCUUAUAAGAGUUCUCAUAUAGUUUAGUUGGGUUCUCUCUCUAUCCCUUAAAGUAGGAUAAAAUAGGUUAUAAAUAUUGUCACUUCAGAGGGACGAAAGAAAGUCGUCGCAUUAGUCACGAGCUUUUCAAGGUUGCCCUUGCACAAAUUUAUGUUAGGUAUUUGCAGCACUUCUACAUAGUACCCGGCUGAAUUUAGUCCAUAGUAAUGGGACAUCGCGAGAUGCCAUAACUCUUUAGUCUCGUCAUGCCGGGAAUCUGAUGCCCUGUUUGGACCCUAAAGCAUUCGCGGGACAUAGUGAUGUCUCGGACGAUCGGACUUGGGAAACCUCCCGAAUCCAUUCAAUAUGCACAAAGGAACCAUCCUUGCGUUACCAUAUAUGGCAUGUACCACCCAAUUGUAUCACAGUUGCCAGCUCCAAGUGCAGUGAGAAAAGUCCUUAGUAGCAUGAUUGAAGACAUGAAUCCCACAUCCAAGCCAAGUUCAUCUGUCUGAUCAGAAUGGAUGGCUCUCCCACAUCUCCAUUCCACUUUAGGAGGACUUAGCCCAUGCAAUUAUGAAUGCGUUAUAAUGAGGGACAAGGGUUCCAUUUUGUGUGUUUACCUAAAGGUGAAUAACGUUGGAUCACUCUAAAGUGAAGGAAAAUAAAGCUAGGAAUCUCUUAGAAAACAAAGAUAGCAUUCAUAUCAAGGCAAAAAUGCUUUUUAGUUAGGUUGAUAGGUAUGGAUGAUCCAUGGGGGGUGAUGGAGGCCAUGUGCUGGAAUAUGUCUCUCACGUCAUGAAGCACCACCAAGGACCAGCCAGCCAUGAACGAACUUCAUGGAGAAUUCCCUUGUGAUGAACUGAGUGGGAUAGGAUGGAUACAAUACAAUUGUGGUCAUGAUUAGUGUCACUAAUAUAUGGAGGAUCCUUCAGCAAAACUCCAACGACUCCUGUUUUUCAAGAAAUGGACAGUAACAAGGAAAGUGAUUUUGCUAUUAAAAUUUGAGCAAGUAAUGGGUAUCGUCUAGGUUGGAUUUACAUGGUGGUGGUGGACUCUAGUCCAAGACUCAUGGUUGAGUGUGCAAAUUAGGUGUUAGUGCCGCCUUCUUCGGAGACCCUUUUAGUGAUUUUACGAACUUAGAAGCAAUUCAAUUGGAGGUGACACAUUUUUCAAAGCCCCUGCCAAUUAAAGCAUGCAAUACUACUGCAUACAUGCAUAAUUGGCAUAUAUACUACCAUCACAUGGUCGUUCUUGGUGCAAACUGUCAUCAUUUCAACAACUUACAUUAUCUAAGAUUCGUCACCUGAGAUAUGUUAGUAAUGGGUAAGCUAAAAUAGCACUUUUGGAACUGAUGAGAGGCAUGUUUGUUAGGAGUAAUUGAUACGCUACCACUUUUGGCGCCCGUGAGAAGUUCAUAUCUUAGGAUUUUCAUCGCUGAGUUUUAGCAGCAAUUCAUACGUAUUGCUACCUAGCAUUUUGCACUAGCAAGGAAAAAGAUUGGCAUAACUACUGUUAUGAAAAAGAUCAUGCAUAGUUUGCACUGAUUCUCCAAUGUUUUAAUAGCCACAGCCUUCUGAUUCAGCUUAUACUACUAGUUUCUUGUUUUCAUGCCUCUGACAACGACUUGAUAUGAAUUUCAACAAAAGCCCAGUUGAAUUUGAUACCUCGACUAACCUGGACCCAUGACAAUUAACAUGUGUGUUGUCAACGUUGUGCAGAGUCGUUUCUUUCCUUUCCUUUCCUUUCCUUUCGUCCACUUAAUUUCAAGGAGUUUUGAUCAUAUCUCUGAUGCGAUUCUAAUUUUCAUAAGAUUUUUCAAAUCUUGAAUUGACAGUGAAAGUGCACAUGAGAUGUAUUGUCUGGUGAGAUUGUGUCAUCUCGCAGUUGAAGUCAAAAUGCCGACUACAAUUUUAUCAUAUCCUACAAUGAAUUGAGUCAAUCUUUGUACUGGAAUUCCAUAUACUUGGAUUAUCUUGCGGUACUCAACUUUAUGAGGAUCUCCUCAAAGCUCAAGUAAUCUUCGUGUUGUCCCGCUAAAAUUUGACCACUCGUUAGAUAACCACAAUAGAUGUCGGAGUUGACAUAUGUUGUUUUGGGAACUCAUAAAUAAAUAUGGGAUCAAGGGUCUCGCAAGUUGAGUUCUGUCCCAUUUAAAUUGAUUCGUAGAAUUUUUAUAAAUUUUUGUGUAAAUUUGUACAAUUGUAGAGAGGGUUUUUAGCAGAGACUCUCACAAUGACUUCCAAACUUUCCAUUAUUUUUUCUAGAAUUUUGUAUUUAUUUUAAUACAUAAAAUCUAAUUAAAAACUUUAAAAUAGUGGAUUAUAACUAAUCCUAUCACUAGUCAAAUUUAAAAUUUAAAACUUUUCCACUAUCUCCUUCAUAAACCGUUUAUAGUUUGUUGUUUAUACUUUAAGUCAUUUUUACUCCUUAAUUAAAUAAAAUACAUUUGUCAAGCCAAAAUUCUUAGGGAUAAUUGAUUUAGUCUCAUUUUAAAAUCAUUCACCCUAUUAUAUCUUUAUCACUUUAGCCCUUUUUAUUCCUUCAUUAAAGAGGAUUAAUUUAUCUAGCCAAAUCCUCGAGAUAAUGUGAUUAGUCUUAUUUUUUAGUUAUUUACCCAAUUAUUUUUUAUCGCUUUCCUUCUGAGUACAAUAAUCAUUUAUCAACAUCUUCUAAUGAUAUACUCAAUUACUCUUAUUUUUUAAUAAUUUAUGUUACAAUUACUAAAUCAAUUUUCUUGCAGUCUUAAACUUAUCCUUAUUCUUUUGUAUUCAUCAAGCUUAGGGCACUUUAAUAGGUUUCCUUUUUAUAAUUUUUAUGUUGGAUUUUAUUCAGUAGGUUUGUUUUUUUAAAGUUUUAAAAUUUGAGUGUUGAAAUUAUACUCUAACAUUAAAUUGGAGUAUGUAAAUAACAAUUAUGACAUUUUAUUUGCACUUAGAAUAAACUCGAUAUUAAUAUCGCGCAAGCAACUAGAUGACUUUUCAUUUAGCACAUGUACACCAAAAAGUGCAUGUAAAGAAAAAUUUAUGUAUGAAUUUUAAAUUAAGGUGUAUCUAGAAGGUUGCUUUUGGUGGUAUUUUAGCAAAAUUUUGAUAAAAAGGUUAUAUUUCACCAAAUUUACAUCCGAAAGUUUACUUUUUCUCGAUGAUUGCAAUUCUUGCUUUUUAUUUGAUUAAAAACACUUAAAAAUGAGGCAGCAACUGCGAAAAAUAAUUAUAACUUUUUAUAUGUCCAAAAAAACUUAAAAAGUGAGAUGAAGAAUCAUAAAUAGUGAAAGGAUUAGAAAGAUAGGACUGCAGGGUUAGAGAAGGGAAAGAUUAGGGGAGAGUUAUCAAAUUAGAUGAUUCAUAUGAGUUUGGGCAAGUUAUAAUUAGGUUAAUCUAUAUAUUCCUACUUAGUUAAUGGUUCAAAAUAGAUGAAUUCGUCAAUGAAUAUAGUUUUAUAUGGGUUUGGAUUAUUCAAUCACCCAUUCACGGCCCACUACUAAAUUUUAUUUACUUUUUCAUCCACAUUUUGUUUAGCAACAAAAUAGUAAAUCAUAUCAACAUAUCAAAGUUAAUAAAUCAAUUUUUACCUAAAGAAAGAGAAAAAACAAAAAAAUUACUUAGAGGAGCCUAAAAUGGUCAUCAUAGUGAGUUUCAAAUUUUGUCACUUUAUGACAAUCUAAAAAUAAUUUAGGUAUUAAUGCAAACAAUCAAUUAACAUUCACGAAAUUUAUUAAGCUUUUAUGAAAGGAAUGGAGGAAGUAGGAUAAAUUUUAAAAAAUAAAAUAAUAGAAAUUAAAGAAGAGAAAAAACGAUGAAUACAUCUUUGCAAGAUUUAGAAUAUAAUUAUUAGAGUAAUUUAGAUUUACCCACUAAUGAUUGAGUUUGAAUCUACGUUUAAUUUAAUUAAGUCAUAAUAAUUGGGUAGGAUAUGAAGGAGCGAAAAAAGGUUGUAGGAAUACGAGAAAGUUAGAUUCAAAAAGUGAAAAGGAUACUAGUUGACAGUAGGGGGAACAUCGAGGAGAUAGGAGGUUGAAAGGUGGAAAAAGUGGCACGAAGGGAGAUAAUAUGAAAGAAAUGGAUAAUAAUGUUGUAUUUGGCUAUAUUUUCCCCCUCUCCUAUAAAAAUCGGUGCAUUGCACGGGUCAAAAUACUAGUUUGAGUGUAAGCUUGAAUUUAUCAAUUCACAUAAUCAAAGUUGACAGUUUUAUCAAACUGUACAAGUUUACACUAAAUAUGGUAAGAAUUACACGAGCUAAUUUGAAUUAGAAAAAACUCAACUUCUGAUAAGUAUGUGGGGAUUGCCCGUUUGAGCAGUUUUCAAGAUUGUAAAAUCUUUUACUACAUUAAUCAUCAGGCUAAAAUUUUAAAUGUUUGAUUCGAAAAUUAAAUUUAGCAUCAUAAGAGUUGUUAGACUGGUGCACAUGAGGACGUUUUCUUGAUACAGACGCUAAAUCUUGAAUUGUAGACGCAGCUUGAGAGUUUGGCGACCAACCACAGCAUUAUCUAACCUUUUCCUGACGCCCAAAUUCCGAGGUGGGUUUAGUUUAACUCAAAUCAAUUCAUUGGUCAUCACCAAAAGAUACAACUGAUUUGAUGCAGAAAGUCCAAGAUUUGAAGAGAAGGAUUGAAAAUUGGAGCGGUAGGCUUUGCUAAAAGCCAGACAUUACCACUUCAAAAACUUUUGCUAACUGUUGAAGUCAUCAUACUUAUGCUGUUACUUGUACACAUUAGUUCAUAGGUCACCCAAUUAAAAUGCCCAAGGAGCCAUACUUUGUUAAACUUAUUAUGUACAUUCGCAUAAAGAUGUCUGAUCAGGCGAAAAAGGCUCAUGCUUUCUAGAGCCUUGCAUAAAUGUAAAAUCAAAUGCAAUGGAAAUGUAAAUCGUUCACUAUUCUCUGACUGUGAAAUUUAGUUUUUUUAAAUAACAGAGAGAUGACGCGAACAGUCGCUAAAUCAUAAUAUUGGAGGUUUACGUAUUUUAACCAAAGAAUAAUGGUGGAGCCACGAGGUAAUUGAGAUACAUGGAGCACUGCAAGAGCUGAAUUGUUGUGCGUGGUCUCUUCUUGAUCAAGGAAACGGUGGUAUUUUAUAAGCUACAAUUUGGCUAAGAGAAAGGUGUAUGAUUACAUAAAAUAAAUGGAAGUCAUAAAGCUGGGGAACUUUAUUAGAGGAUUAUUAUUGUUGUGAGAAGGUCCACGCCUGAGAAUGGCUACAUACGACAAAAGAAAAAGAUUGGUAGAGAAGGGGGAAAAAUCCUUCAACAGGGAAAGCGAAAUGUCGGCAGUUUUUGUAUCGAGUGCCUAACUGCCGACCCUUCGCCUUUUUGACAUAUUCCUUCUUUGCUUAGAUAUAAAUACUAAUUAAGACGUGGAAUUUACACACGCAUAGAAAUGUAAAUAUGGAUAGGGUUUAGUGGGGUUUGAUACACGAAAUUCUCAUCUGCUGAACCUUUUUACUGCUUCUUAGGAUCAAAUGAAAUUAAAUUACAUCCUAAUGAUAUUUGACUAAUUAGCCAUCUUUGGUGCUAAGGCAUCCUAGGAGGCAAUGGCCACCCUUCUUCUUACUCCCAUAGCUUAACUUGGUCCAAAUUUGGUGGAGACCCCAUUAUUCAACUCCUGCAGUUAAAGUCCACCAAAGGAAAAAAAAAAAAAAAGAAGAAGCAAGAGUUUUGGUUUUCGGGGAGGGGAGGAGGGGGGGUGGACGUGCGUUUGAAUUUGGGCAAAAAACCUCAGCGGCCACUAAACUAUUAGUCAAAUAAUGUUUUGGCCAUCAAACUAUUUUUCGUCAGUAAUUAGCCACUAAACAACUUAAUUAAUAAAUCCGUGACCAUUUAAUCGAUAAUUGCUCUUAAUCUGUGAAAUUAGUUGUACACAUAGCAAAGUGUGAGGUAAUUUUGUUCAACAAUUACGCGACCCUAUUUCAUAUAGUAACUGUUAAUUUUACAGAUUAAGAGCAAUUAUUGACUAAAUGGUCACGAGUUUAUUGAUUAAGUUGUUUAGUGGCCAAUUACUGACAAAAAAUAGUUUGAUGGGCAAAACAUGAUCUGACCAAUAGUUUAGCGGCCGCUGAGAUUUUUUACCCUUUGAAUUUUUGUUCUCUGGUUUGAGAUCACAGUGAAUAAUAAAUCAAUUAUGAAUUGGAUCGAUUAGUUAUUUUACAACACCAUUUUGUCUGAUCAAGUUAAUUAGGCAUUCGUUAACACCAUUUUGAAAUUUCUUGUGUUUUUUAGUUAUGUGCAUAACUAAAAAAUUUAUUAUAUUUGUUAAAUUACAUAUUUAUAAUUUCUGGUGCAUAUUUAAUCUGUUAUUGGGGCAGUAAUAUAAAUCAAAUUGUGCUGGAUGAUUUCCAGUAACCUGUUAAUGAAAUUUUACUUUUGAUAUAUUAAAAAAAAAGUAUAAUAUGCGUGGCCUCCAAAUGCCAACGAUAACUGUGAUACGCUACCGUCAUUUGGUGCGUGCUUAAAGCUUGUAUUUGCUUUCUAGGCUUUAAAAAAUUGCAAAAAAAGACAAAAAAUCAUGCAAAAUUGUGGAAGUGAUAGUCAUUCAAGACCUACGUUGAGCUAUUUCACCAGUCAUUUGUACGAUUACCUUUCUUCCUUUUGUACCAAAUAUGAAAAUUACAAGGUAAGUUGUCAGCCUUUUUAUUGUUCUUGUUUGUGAUUAUGAAUAUUAGUGAGCAUGAUGUUUUUUAAAGGUGUCACCACAUGUUAAGCAAUAGUCCUUUUGCUGUUUUCACUCUUAGAAAAUGUUAAGCAGAAUCUACACCAUUAAGCAGGAAUUCGCAAAAUAUCCACUACCGACUAAAAUAAUUUGCCAAAAAGAAAAAAUAAAAAGGAUUUAGCAGUAAAUUUUCUUAUACUCCCUCCGUCCCACUUUGAUAGUCCAGUUUUUCUUUUUCGUCUGUCCCAAUUUGUAGUUCACUUUCCAAUUGAAGAAUGUAGUUAUCUUUUAAUUUCUCUAAAAUACCCUUAUUCAAUAUAAGUUGUUAGUAGUAUAAACUACCUUAUUUAAUAUAGAUUGUUAACCUACCUCAUUUAAUACAUUUAGAUUUUCCAAAACAUAUUGAUAUAUGAAAAGCUAGCUUUGUUAUUCUUUCAAGCCAAAAUGUGAAAUAAUGUAAAAUGAGGAUUGAUUCUUUCUUGAUCAUCAAUUCAAGUUCCCAUAAACCAUCAAUUCAAGUUUCCAUGAAUAAUUAAUAUAAAGUUGUACUCUAUUUAAUAUAAGGGUAUUUUAGGAAAAUAGCAACUAAAUUUAUUGUUCUAACAAAGUUAACUACUUUUUCUUAAACUGUGUGAAAAAAAACUAGGACUAUCAAAAUGGGGCAGAGGAAGUAUAAAAUUUUAGCAAAUGCAAUUUCUUAAUUAUAUCUUGAGAAUAUUAACGUACUACAGAAGUUCAUGAACCACCUAAUAAACCAAAGUAAUUCUAGAGCCAUUUGGAGUUGCGGUAACUUAUUGAAAAGUAUUUUUUCAAUAGAUUUUUUAAUAAAAGUACUUAUUAAGUGUUUAAGUACUUUUAAGUAUACUGUUUGGAGAUAUAGUUCAACAAGUAUUUAUUGUAUUGGAUAAUAUGUGAUUUAAAAAUUUUUAAAUGUAUUUAUCUCUUUAUUUAGUUUAUUAUAUAGGAUAAAAUGAUUAAAUUUAAUAUUUUAUUUUUUAAAUUACAAAAGGUGCUCUAAAAGCACCAAAUUUGAACUUUUACUAAGAGCGUUUUAAUAUCAAAAACUCUACUUUUAAUUUUAUGGAAUGAUGUUCAUCAAAUGACUUAAAAGUACUUUUAAUACCUAAAAAUACUUUUUUACUAACCAAACAGGACCUUAAUUGAAGAUGAACUUGACCAGACCAGCAUGGGGACUGGCCAUCAACCCGACAUAUCUAGUACAAAGUUGAGUUAUAAUGGACUUCUUGUUUUGGUGCUAAAAAGGGCUCGAUUUGAAAUGCACAUAUCAUUGUAUAUAUCAAAUAUACACGAAUUUUGUUGUUGGUAAAAAAAAAAUAAUAAUAAUUUCUUAGAGCCCGUUUGGACUGUUAUUUUCUGAAGUUUUUUUUUUUUUUUUUAAAUUCUGUAACGAUUUGAUGUAUGUGCGAUAACAAAGUAAUUAAAAAAUAUGUGUUCAUAAAAAAUAUAGAACUUUUUUUUUUUUUAAAAAAAAAAGGCAAUCCAAAUACAUUACACUAAUGGUUACUGCAGGUAAAAGUGUCACUAUACAAAAGAUUAUGGUCCAACAUUUUAGCUUAAUGGGAUCCACUCUUAAUUCAAAAGCCAUGUCUCCACUUGGUCUCCCAUAUUUGACAUUGUCCUCCUUCAUCUCCUCCUCCCUCUCGAUGGCGCGGUGGUUCUUAAAAAGAGAGUCAAGCUCUCUCACUAGCUCGAAAAGAUUAUUUGAUCAUGGAGGUUUUAGGUUGGCAUGCACUUUACAUACACUAGUAAAAACUUCCCCGAUCCCCACCAGAAAUGAAGAAAACCAAAAAGGAGAAAACCCACUACUUUAUUUUGUUUUCGCCGGCAAACCAAUCAGCAGUUGCCACUUAACACCAAGAUGCUGGGAGCUGUAUUAACAUUAUAAGGCAGAGCUUUCCAGUUACAAGCUAAGCUACAAAAGAUUACCAUUAGUUAUAGUACUUUUUUUUGAUAAUAGCUAUAUAUCUACUUGAGAAAGGUGUUCAUUUGGAAGCCAUUUCAUAGGAAUUUUCGAGGAAAAAUUAUCUAUUAAUAUAUAGAAGAAGUGACGGGGGGAGCAGAAUUGAGUAGGGUUGGCUUAGAUGGCGACUUUGCUUCAUUACAACCCUACAGCACACGUGCGAGCGGAGCAAAGGAGGAUGAGAUCAACAUAUUACACAUCGACCCAUUGAUCACUUUUUUUUUUUUUUGCAGUGAGAUCAAACAUAUUCUGUGUUUGAUAUUUUUGCAGUGAAUUUGUGCUGUAGAGAAUUGUUAAAUUAACUCAUCAUCCCUUAGAUUACAAGGGAUAAGAAGGGGACCAGUGUAUAAAUUUACCAAUCGGCAGAUCAGUGACAAGGUUCAUUAAGAUGGAGAGCAAAAAGAAAAAGAAAAUCUCAAGUGCGGCAUACUUUCUCUCUUGGUUGGUCGGUCGGUUGGUUUACCACAAUGAAACUAAUAUGUUCAUGAGCAUGUGAGAUCUAGUUAGCAAAUCUUAUCCGACGGGGUUAAAAGUGAGACGUUCAUAAGGCCGGGUUAAAAUUACCUAUCAGACAUCCAUUGAAUUUAAUCAAAGGGUGCUCCAUGAUUUUGGCCAUCACAGGAAUUUUAAGUUCUUUUGUCGAGUUGUAGGUCGUGGGAUCGAAUUCCUUAACCUGCAGUUCUGAUGCAUUCUUCUGAUUUAGAGGUGAUUUAUUCUCUUCUUUGAUUUCUGCGAGUCCUUCCCUUCUCGAUUCGAUUGCGUAAGAGUAGAAUAGAUACUCUAAUUCCUACCCAAAAAUGAAAAAAAAAGGUGCUCUAACGUAGUACAUUUUUGGCCCAAGACUCCUUUAGACUCACCUCUUAUUCAUUGGUAUAGGAACAAGAGUAGGUACGAUCACACAGGCCCCGUUUCGAAGGUGAGUUUUUUGGGUGUUUGUCUAAAAAUUUACUGUAGAUUACUGUAGAAGUUGUAAGAAAAAUUUUUAGGAUGAAAAUCUUUUUUCUUUCUUUUUCUUUUUCUUUUUUUCUUUUACUUUCUUUCUUUCUUUUUUCUUUCCUUUCCUCUCUUCUUCUUCUUCCUUCCCCUUCCCCCGGCACCUCUGCCUCUGACGAAGAAGAACCAGCAGCCAUGUUUCCAAUUUUUUUCCCUUUUUCUCUCCCCCUCUCCUCCCUCUCCCUUUCCUCCCCUUCCCCGUCGCCCUCCGACGCCAGAGAAUUGCAGCCAUGGAUUUUUUUUUUUACUUUUUCUCCCCCCCUCCUUUCCCUUUCCCGCCAUCCUCCCCCUCUCCCUAGUUGCGAUCUGGUCUCCCAGCAGCCAUCCUGCAAUUUUUUUUCCUUUCUCUGCCCCUCUUUUCCCUCUCCUAUCCCCUCCCUCUUGCCCUCCGACGCCAGAGCUAGCAGCCAUGGAUUUUUUUUUUAGCUUUUUCUCUUCCCCUCUCCUCCCCCUCCCCUAGCUGCAAUCUGGUCGCAAGACGAGAUCGUAGCCCCCCUCCCCCUCCCCCUUUGCGAUCUGGUCGCGCGACCAGAUCGUAGCUAGCGGGAGGGGGACGGUGGCGGGGGAGGGAGAGGGGAAGAGGGGAAGGGAGGAGAGGGGGUGAGGGAGAGGGAGAGAAAAAAAAAAAGAGGAAGGCCAGCACUGAUUCCAGUGCCGAAAUAAGUGACCGGCGCCGAGAGCGGUGGUGGAGGUGAUGGCUGGCAACGGAGGACGUGGUGGGUUGGGUGAGGGAGGAAAAAGAAGAAAAGUUGAAGGAAAAUUUUUUGUGUAUUAGAUAAUUUUUAAGUGUGUAGGUUAAAAAUUUUGAAUUUUUUUGGGGUUCCUAUAGUAAAAAUUGUUAAAAAAUUAGUAACAUACAAACUUGGGGUUCCAAACAAAGCCACAAUUUUUUGCUGGAUUAGAACGUUAGAAGUGAUUUAGUCCCUUCUGAAUUCCCGACAAAUAUAUACUCAAGUCUGUAUAUAUCCAUGAGUUCCAUUCCAACUCUUGAUAUGAAAUUGAUUAAGCUUGAUUUUUCAACUCACCAUGAGUGGCUAAUUUAUUUAGUUGCUUUAAAAGAUAUACUACGUGCCAAGCUGUGUGGUACUGCUGCAUCCAGCUUGGACCUGAAUGUUGAAGUGCUGUCCGUCUCUCCCACACGAAUUAGCACACAAUUAUUUUCGACCAUUUAAUCGUUCAACGUUUGGUAUAUAAAAAUUAUACCACUGCUGAUUCGUCUUUCCAGCUGGUGUUGUUGUAAACGUAGACGGUCUUAUCCAGUUUCUGGGGCAUUUUGGAAAACACGUAGACGAGAAAAAUCAAGCAAUCAACCAAGAAAAAUCAAGACAGCAACCAAGAGUUGACUACUUAGUCGUAAUAUAAUGGUUCUGUUUGGAAGAUGAGUUUUUUGGGAAUUUGUCUAAAAUUUUACUGUAGAAAUUUUUUAAAAAAUUUUUGAAUGUGUAGAUUUUUGAAUAUUUUGAAGUGUAUAGUUUAAAAAUUUUAAGAAAUUUUUUGAGGUUACUGUAGCUAAAGUUUUUAAACAACUAGUAGCAGACAAACUUGGCAAAAAACUUGAGUUCCAAACAAGGCCAUUAAUAUUUCGCUCAAAGAAGUAGGCAGGGAAAAUGGUUUUUCGGUUAUACUACAACACUUUCUUAUAUACAUAUGUAUAUAUAUAUAAUGCAUCAUGAACUGCUUUUGACCUUUACCUUGUCAUUCGUCAAACGGAUUAGUUUAUGGACUCAAAAUCAUAGCAGCACAAACUUCGGGAGUAUAAUAAUGCUCAUUCCUCCCAUCAAGUCUUCACUGCCGACUCUCUUUUGACUUUGGAUCUGCUGUCCUUUUUAUACUUCAUGCUUAAAGAACUUAUUGUACACACAAGAUAAUGAAAAUGAAAGUUUUGCAUCUUUUACACGAUAAUAUUUGAAGAAAUAUCACUUGUCCAGAAAUAUUAAGACUAAUUUUACUUUGAGCCCACUAACUUGUAUAAAACUCUCAUUUUUCACCAUCAUAUGCAUCUGCGCAGCAGAUGAAGGCAGGGAUGACAAUAGGACGGGAUCUAAACAUAUCCCCCACCCCCCCCCCCCCCCGGUUACCUGCUCCCCUGGCCCCCACCCCACCGCACUUCACUUCCCCGGCAGAUACCUGCGGAGGGAAAAGUUUAUAAUUAAUAAAAAAAUAUAAUUAGUAAAAAAUAUAAUUAGUAAUUUAGUAUAAAUGUAUAAUUAGUAAAAAGUAUCUAAUGGAAUAAAUGUAGAUUAGUAAAAAUUGUAAUUAGUAAUUUAGUAUAAAUAUAUUAGUAUAACUAGUCAAUAAUUUGUAUUAAUAUAAAUAUAUAGUUAUUAGUAUAACUAAUAAUAUUAAUUAUAUUACAUAUGCAUAAUUUGAUAUAUAUAUAUCUAAUAAUAAUAAAUAUGUUAUGUAUAUAAUUAAUAUAUAUUAUUUUAUUUAAGCGGGGGAUGGGGCGGGGGUAUAGUCUCCUGUCCUCUGCCCCGUUUUUUAAUGGGGGAGCAUUUUACCCGCUGCCCCGCCCCAUUAUCCGUUCCACGGUACCCACCCCCAAUUGCCAUCUCUAGAUGAAGGAAACUUUUUUUGUUUUUGCCCACAUUAUACUACUGAGGAAGAAAAAAGAAAAAGGAAUAAAAGUUGAUAAUAAGAGAUAUCUACCCAAAAAAUAAUAAUGUAAUGUGAAAAAUGAGAAUCUUAUACAAGUUAGGGGUCCAAAGUAGAAUUGAUCAGAAAUUUUAAUGCAUGUGAUACAACAAUAAACAAUAAUGUAAGCAACAAUGACAGAAAAGAAAUUUUCACUAAGGGCGGUGGGAUUAUGCUAAUUCUUAUGCAACUUUAAUCUAAGUUAGGUCAAUCAUCAUAUACGUAAAAUUAUUACUUGCUAAUGCACAACCACAUAGUUAAAAAAACAAAAAAGAACUUACAAGAAGGCCUAGAAAAUAGACACUAAUGAGUAGAAUUAUUACUAUUGGCCAUGAAAUAAUCUAUAUAUAUUAUCGCUAUUGGCAAAUGCAGAGAGCCUAGUGGAGCUACUGUUUCUGCAUUCCCGGGGUGACCUCAGUGCCUAGGCACCAAUCACCAUGCAAAGAAUUGAAUAGAGGAGAAGGCAAAGUAUAAAGCAACAUCUAGCACUCGUCCAGUCCAAUUUUGAAGGUCAAAAUCCCUCAGGCCACUGUUUUUUUUUUUUCUUGUGGUAAAAUGUAGCAAACUGUCUUCAUUUCGGCCACAGAUUAUAUUAUAUCAAAAGACAUCUGUAGCCAUGUGACCAGCCUAUCUACAUGUAAUCAAAUCUUUCUGCUGUCAACAAGUCAAACGAACAACCAAUUUUUUAUUUUGUUUUUUCAUAUUUUCCACGUUAGACUGAUUAAAAAGUAAAUAGUGCAUUAAAUAUUAUUUCAUGGAGGACAAAUUUUCAAAUUUCUUUAAGAGAAACAUUUAAAUCAGAAAAGAAUAGAUUUGAAACUAUUGGCUUUUAGCUUCAUAAGUCCUUUUCAUACCAUAUCAAUGAGUGUGGAUUAUUUAUGUGUCUCUUUAGAAACUCAUGCUAUAUAGAGUCAUAAAAUUCGCUCACGGACGUGUCACCACUAACUUGAGAAAGCGAUUUUUUCUAUAAAAAUUAUUGAAAUGACUCAUUAAGUCCUAAACAAAAAAUGUAUCAUAUUUUUGUUUGAAUAAGUAAUUGAGCUUAAUUACUCAUGUUAUAUAUUUUUAGAGGAAAUUAAGUCUUAAAAUAAGACAUGAGAUAAGCAAUUAUUGCUAGUGAUGAUCAUCAUUUUUCUUUAUUUAGUCAACAAAUUGUCAUACUUAUAAAAUUCACCAAGUAUGAUUGACAUGGUGCGCUAAUAGUAGUAUCCAUCCUUACUUUCCCAUUAUACAAGUACAAAGUUGCAUGUGGUAUAAUCCAUUUUUCAUUGCAUCAUCCUUAGUAUUGUCAUAGGUACAAUCAAGAUGCUCCUUAGGUUGGGCAAAUGACCCCCUCAAAAUUUUAAAACCCCUUUUUAUACCUUAUAACUAUUGCUAAUUGCAUUUUAAACUAGUUAUAUUGUAAUAGUUUGCACUCCCUAAAAUAAUAAAAAAUUGUAUAUUGCUCCCCCUCAAAGAAAAAUUAGGGUACUUAGUAAAAGUUAAAUCAAUCACCAACUAUGUAAUGAGGGACAAGUGAAGCAAAACCGAGAAAUUAGUAUAUAAAGACAAUUCAUGCUUAAAAAGUCAAAAAAAAAAUACUGUUUUAGAUUGAGAAUAAUAUGGAAGGCAUGACCAAAUACAAUUAAUCUAUUUAAGGAAGAAAAGAGCUAUGUGUGGGGAAAGAAGAAAUAUAUAAAGAGAAAAGAGUGCAAAAGCAAAGAGAUUAAUCUAAUAGCGUAUUACAAACUAUAUAUUUGGAAUAUUUCUUUCCUUGUUGAAUUUGAAUUCCCUUUUAUUGUUAGUCUUUUAUUUGGUUGAUAAUUAACUCACUGACACUUGGAUAAUUUGCAAUUGUGUAACUCAUUUUGGUAUUAAAGCGCCCUAUAAUUUAACACUCGACUAAAUUAACCACACCAUUUUGUGAAAUACUAGUGUUAAUCAUUCAAAUAAUUAAUGAAACGAGUGAAAAUGCUAAAUUCUAAUUUCUUUUUCCAUGGAAACAUAUAUAUAAAUAUAUAUGGGAAUUUCAGUAAAUGAUUUUGGGUGCUUGGAAAAUUAUUGACUACAUUAAAAGGACUAGAAUUAGAUGGUUACUAGGCAUUUUUAAUAAAAUUAGAAUUAGACGGUUGCUACAAUAAAAGGAUUAAAAGAAUUUUAGUAAUUAAUAAAGUAACUAGGCAUUUUUGCAUUUUUGUAGUUGCUUUUUUCACUAAGAUACGUAGUUACUCAAUAGUAGACAGUUACACUUCCUAACCCCGGGUCUUGACUCCGCCACGACACAAAGGAUAGUGAUAAGACUUAUGAAUGCAAUAGCAAUUGUUGAAUCUGAAAUUAUUAUAGGAAAAACCAAAAAAGAAUUUAGUUAUAAGGAAAAAAGGAAAGAGGUCGGAGUGGGGGGAUUGGUUGCAAAGAAGCUCUCAAGGCUAUGUGGACUCCGUGGCCACACUAGCCAAUAGGGACCUGAAGAGUUGUAUAAAUAAGCUAUACAUCUGUCUGUCUCUUUGUAUAAUCUAUAGCAAGGUAAAUAGCUCCUUCACGCCUCUUCUGAUAUGUAUGUGCUCACACAAAACUAGUGAAGGAAGUUUUUAGAGGGAUUCAGUUAUAGAAAAAGAACCAAGUAGUAAGACAUAUUAUACUCCUAGAUAUAUAUAUAUAAAUAAAAAAAAAAACUCCUAGAUAGCAGAGAGGGAAGUGAAGGGACAAUAAGCUAGCCCAGAAAAGAACUAGAGAGAAAGUUGAUGGAAAUGGAGGCAAGAAGGCAGCAGUUGGAGAAAGGGGAUAAUGUUGCCAGUGAGGAAAUUACUACUGUUGACUGGAGAGGCAGACCCUCCAACCCAAGCAAGCAUGGUGGAAUGGGAGCUACUGCUUUUGUGUUAGGUCUAUUUCAUGCUCUCCCUUUAAUCUCCAGUAUUUGUUGUGUGUGUUUUUCUGGGCUCAUCAUAAGGGGUCAGUUUUGAGGUUCAGAACCUCAAAAAGCAGGCUUAGGACUAAUUUGCAUCACUUUUUUUUUUUUUUUAAAUUAUAUGAGGUUGCACCUUCUCUUUCUUCCCUCAUCCGCAGCAAGAUUUCACCUUUCUUUCUGAUGAGUAAACAGUAACCACCUAAAAUCCAGUGUUUUUUUGGUUGCGUGUGUGUGAUAUUGAUUUCUUCUUAGUUUCCUUUAAGAUGGCAAGUCGGUAAUUUAGAUGUUGAUAUGGUUCUGUGUGAUUGCAUGUGUCCAUGUUGAUGUGAAUUUUUGCCCCUUGUACAUAUGUUUGUUUGGUCAGGGUUAAUUACAUUUUUUUUCUUUUUAUUUCAGUCAUUGUCAAUUUAUACAUGGUUGUGAUUUUCUGAUUUUAUGCCUUGAAGUUGAGAUGUAUAUCUAUAUAUACCUUCGCAGGGCUUCAAGCAUUUGAAAUAAUGGCAAUAGCAGCAGUUGGGAACAACCUCAUAACGUAUGUGAUCAAUGAGAUGCACUUUUCUCUAUCAAAGUCUGCCAACAUAGUGACAAACUUCAUUGGAACUGUCUUCAUCCUCGCACUCCUUGGAGGCUACCUCUCCGACUCUUAUCUUGGUUGCUUUUGGACCAUGCUCAUCUUUGGCUUUGUUGAACUUUCGGUAUAUCUUCUUUCCCCAUCAGUUUCUCUCCCUUCUAGGUCCCUUCACUUUUUGUCUUUCUCUACCCUCUCCUUUCUUUUUUUUUUUUUUUUUUUUCUUUUAAAAGCAAGGCGGAAAAAAUGAUGAUUUCAUCAAAAAGAUUAUUUUACCAUCAUACUCUCUCUCUCUAUAUAUAUAUAGAGAGAGAGAGAGAGAGAGUAUCAGCGCGCAAAACCCAGAAAAAUCAUCAGAAGACAAAUUAUUUGUCUGGUCCUUGUUUAGAGUACUGGGAAUCUAACUGCUACAAGAAAUUAGAAAUUGGAAAUUGGUUCAUGUUCAAGUACAUCCUGUGUGUGUACGUCUUUGUAUUUGCAUGUGCAUGCAUAGGACAAUAUAUACUUUGUUGGUUAAUUGGUGACAGUGUGAUGUUAUAAUUAUUUGUCCUUUUUGUAGUAUAUAUAUAUGUCAAAAUUAUUGGUUGUAGAAUAAUAUCCAUGUAUCAGCUGAUCUGUACCUUUAUGUUUGUGUUGAAUUACAGGGUUUCAUACUAUUGUCAGUUCAAGCUCAUUUACCCCAGCUAAAACCACCCCACUGCAACAUGUUAACUGAUGGGGACAAUUGUGUGGAGGCGAAGGGAUUCAAAUCCAUAAUAUUUUUCAUGGCACUGUACCUGGUGGCAUUAGGGAGUGGAUGUGUGAAGCCAAACAUGAUAGCUCACGGUGCUGACCAAUUUGACAAGGAAGUCCCCAAGGAGUCCAAGAAACUCUCGAGAUACUUCAAUGCUGCCUAUUUUGCCUUCUCCGUGGGAGAACUUGUUGCUCUAACCAUUUUAGUUUGGGUCCAAACACAUUCUGGCAUGGACAUUGGAUUUGGAGUCUCAGCUGCAGCCAUGGCAAUGGGUUUGAUCAGCUUAGUGGGUGGUACACUUCUUUACAGGAAUAAGCCUCCUCAACGAAGCAUCCUCACCCCAAUUGCACAAGUAAUUCAUUCAGAAUCUUUCUUUGGUUCCAUCUUUCACACAUAAUUAAAGAUAUAUACUCCUAUUUAAUUUGUACUAUUACUUAAUUUUUUUUUUCAUGUCAUUAAUUUCACUAACCUCUCUGUGACAAUGACCUGGGGUGGGAUUAUUUAUUUGUUGGAUGACAAUUGGAAUCUUUUAUCAUUUAUUUGUUUUAAUCAUUUUAUAUUUCUCUAAUUAAUCCGGUGAAUUAAUUAAACUACUCUUUUGAUUCUUAUGAUUGUGAGUGCAAUCUUGUUUUCUUGUGCUUGCUGCAUUAAUAAAAAAAUAAUCUCCUGUUUGUUGAAUCAAUAAACUAAGGUCAUUUAGAUGCAAGUGCCAGCUGCUGUCUUCUUCUGAUUAACAUUUUUAUGAGAAAAGCUCAUCAUUGAUGUGCCAUAUCAUAGCCCAACAUCUCAUUUUUGGUCGGAUAAUUUGGCAUCUACUUGUACAUUAAUCUGUUGAAUUUUGUAAUAUUUCUCCCAGGUCCUAGUGGCUGCAACUUUAAAGAGAAAGCAAGUUUGUCCUUCAGAUCCCCGACUGCUUCAUGGGAGCCACUACCCUAAGCUUCCUAGCAGCAACAAUAUCACCAUCUCUGAAAAUACGGGCGAUCUUCAUCAUACUGAAAGAUUCAGGUAACUUUUUCUUUUCCCUUUGCAAGAUUCUAAGUUGGAUUAGAAUACUCAGAAAUUUCUUUAAAUUAUCAUUUACCCUCCAAAAGAAGUUUGAGAAAGUUUGCAACUUAAUUAAUAACGAUUGACAUUUAUUAGACAAGAAACUGAGGCUACCUACACUGAAUCAAUCAAUUAAUUAUUUUUCUAACUAGCAGUAGUGCAAUUAAUUCUCAGGUUCUUGGACAAGGCAUGCAUCAGAAUUCAAGAUGGAAAUAAUACAAAGGAAAGUGCAUGGAGAUUAUGCACAGUAAACCAAGUCGAGCAAGUGAAGAUACUAAUUUCAGUCAUUCCCAUCUUUGCAUGUACUAUUGUCUUCAACACCAUCCUUGCACAGCUCCAGACAUUUUCAGUUCAGCAGGGAAGUGCUAUGAAUACUCGGAUAACCAAAAGCUUCCACAUCCCUCCGGCUUCUCUUCAAGCAAUCCCUUAUAUUAUGCUAAUCUUCAUAGUCCCUCUCUACGAUUCGCUUUUCGUCCCUUUUUCCAGAAGAAUCACAGGUCAUGAUUCCGGGAUAUCGCCUUUACAGCGAAUAGGAUUCGGCCUUUUUCUUUCGACAUUUUCCAUGGUGGCAGCCGCACUAAUGGAGAACAAGAGAAGGGAUGCUGCGGUAAACUCAAACAAGAUAAUAUCCAUUUUUUGGAUCACCCCACAAUUCUUGAUCUUUGGAUUAUCAGAAAUGUUUACUGCAGUUGGCCUAAUUGAGUUCUUCUACAAGCAGUCUUUAAAGGGGAUGCAAUCAUUUUUAACAGCCAUUACUUAUUGCUCAUACUCAAUUGGAUUUUACCUAAGCUCAGUUCUUGUUUCUCUGGUAAAUAAGAUCACUUCACAUUCCUCCGGUGGUGGUUGGCUCAGUGACAACAAUCUCAACAAAGACAGAUUAGACCUUUUCUAUUGGAUGCUAGCUGCUCUAAGCUUCAUCAACUUCCUCAAUUAUCUGUUUUGGGCCAGAUGGAAUUCAAAGGACUCGGCAAGCAGUCUACAGUAUGAUUCUAACAACCAAGAUUUACGCCAUCAUCCUAUCUUCAGCUCCAGCAAAAUUGCUGGAGAUGAUAGUAUACCUUGAAUGUUAUUGAAUUGUCCCCAGUUGGAUGCUUAAUUUCCUGAUCGCAUCCCUUGAAUAUUGCACUAGACGUAUUUAGAGGAAAGAAAUCAAGAAUGCUUUGGGAGUGGCCCCAAACGCUUGCAUAUUAGGCUAAUCUCAUCUGUAAACAGAAGCAUAAAAUCCCAUUACAAAUGGGUUAUCUAAUUUGGAAUAUGGUGGAUAUUUCCUCCAAAUGCUUUAUGUACUUGCUCAAGGAGUUGAUGGCAAAGUAUCUUGAUGCAUGAUAAUUAAUCGGAGAUUCAUACCCAAAAAAACUCCUCCAAGAUCUAAAACAAUAAGCUUUUACUUCAUAACAAUAAAAUAUUUAGAAGCGAUCCUGUUUCUAAACCAAAUCAUGGCUUAGAUUCUCCCCCUAUACUAUUAUUAUAAAGUUAUCCUUCGAAAAGCAAAUGGUUGCCUAGUUGUACUUACGUUCUACAAUUGGAGGGCUUGCUUUCCGCACUAUAUGAAAAAGGGUUUUCCAGGACAUUUUAAGUUGGUACGAAUUAUGAAGACCAUAUAUAGGCACAAGUUCAUUUGCAAGAUUCACUGCACAAAUCUCUGCAACAACAUCAAUAUCAUGAUUCUUUUAUGAGCAUGACGAGUAUGGGAGAACCAUUGCAUUUGAUAUUCUAUGGAUUUGGAUAGGAAAGAAAGGAACAUCUCAUCUCCAGUCCACCUACUAGUUUUGGGUGCUUUUCGUCUCUGUUGCAUGAAGCUAAAAGGGUCCCUCAGUGUAACCUAACUACAACAAUAAUACGUAAUGCAUAUAUUUGUAUUCAUGGAACACAAUCAAAGCCUCUAUCCUUUCAAGUCAAAAAGAGAAGGGGGCGGGCCAGGAGGACGUAAGGGACACUACUGAUGAUUUUCAUGGAGGAAAUCUAGCGUAUGUAAUUGUAGAGAGAGGAUGCUGUCCUGGUUUUUUGUUUUCACCUUUCUACUUACAGAGGGACAUGUCUGAAACAUGUUGUGAUGUUGGAGCUAGGCCCCCCACUUUGGAGUUUGGAGGCCUUUUACAAUUUCUAUCCUCCUAACACCACUGGCUCAAUCCUCAUCAAGAUGUUUGCUAAAAGAGUAACAUGGCCCCCUCCAUGCAAUAUGCCCUUUUGAUCCCUCAUGCUCUACCAAUUUAUACCAUGCACAGUUAAACGGGGAAACAAAAAAAUGAAAAAGAGCUAGUACCCUGUACCCUACCAUUUAUGAGAUUGAUCACAAUUUUGCCUCAAAUAUAUAUAUAUAUAUAUACCAUUAAUUAAUUUCCUAACAACAGGGGAGGGCAAUUGCUGAAGGAAAAAAAGGGAUUGUUAGAUUUGGAACUGAAAAUCAAAUGAUAAUGGAGCCCCUUAACUUAACUUAAAGAUCUUUGUAAUGCAAAUAUAUACAUAGAAGUCAACGUCAAAGAGUGGAAAUAAAAUGUUGGCACCCCAUAUUUGUGUGUUUUAGGACGCUAUAUUGUGGAACACCAAUUGCGGAUUAACAGUAAUCUUCAUAAUUCUUCUGCAUCGAAUUUAUUGUAAACCGCAGAACAUGAGUCAUUGACUACAUUUGUAUACAUGAAUUGUGGCAACCUCCACAAUUCAUGCCAACAGCAUAAGACCUUCUUUUAUUUUCCUCCUACCAAAAGGAAAAUACAUACAUAUAUAUAUAUAUAUAUAGCAAGAGCAAGAGCUUUGGUUCCUUUUCCUUCCGUUCAAUGAAUUUGUAGCCUUUUUCUUCCAUGAUAACUUUACAACGUCAUGCCACGUGCACAUAUAGUAUUAGUAGCCAAACUGGAAUCCUCUCCCUCCCUUGCUUUUUUGGGGGGUCUUUCUGCCCCCCCACAGCGGUUUAAAAAUCCAGCACAAAGUUUAUCCAUGCACCUCCAUUAUUUAUGCAGCUGGAUGCCUACAGGUAAAUACCAUAAUCAGGCAUACUACCUGAGAAACAUCAUCAAGUUUUCGGACAGGGAAAAAGAAAAAAAUUGAGGAAGCAAUUUAGCAAAAAAAAAAACUGCAAAUUCCAAUUUGUAACCUUUUACUGUUUUUUCCCCACCUUUUGCAGCUGUUAGUACAACUUCAACAAAAAGUUACAUCAGAUUUUUCCCUUUUUUUAUUUCCCCAUUUCUCCCGGCCACUGAAAAAUGGCGUUUUUCACGAGCAUUCGGAUGAAAUUGAGCUGCAGCAAACCUCCAUUCAACCAUUUAGACAAAAUGAGAGUUCCCCGCAUUCAACUUAAACCACAUAUUCUGGCAGAUCGGAAGACGACUGCGGAUGAGGCUUUUGAUUCCUAACUCGACUUACAACUAACUCAAACACAGACCCCAAAACAAAAAAAAACAAAAAAAAAAAGAGGUCCAGACGUGAAGACUGAGAACUGAAGAACGUUGAGGUACAAGACACGUUAACUAUUACUUGUCUUGCACAAUAACAGCUUCUGUUUCAGUCCAAAAAGCAAAGGCCCCAGGUAAAAUUUGGUGAUUACAGCAACAUAUUUUACAUCAGUCCUAAAUUCUAUUUCAAACUGCCCAGCAGCAACAGAUACUAACAAUCGGAAGAUGAAACAAAAAAAAAAAAUUUUGCAUUUCCAAUGCCUCUAAUCAUCGGCAGCCUCCAUAUUUGCUCCUUUAAGAUGCAGGUGUUUUUCCCUCUUUUGAAACUCUGUCAAACCUUUCCCGCUUCCUGUUACACCAACUUUCCCAUUUGGGUCAUCUGGGGAUUUGAAUAUGCUCUCCCGCUUUCGGCCAGAGAAGAAACCAACCUGAGAAUUAAGUGAAAUUCGAGAAGGAAAUGAGUUAAAAGCGAGAUGAUCAAGCAAUGGGUGUAUAGGGUACAGGAAAUGCAUCUUUUAACGCACUAAUGCAUGUUUCACGAAUUCAUGACACUACAAGAGCCAGAUUCUUUGUGCAUCUACCUUCUUAGCCCGGCCCUUAGUUGUCUGAAAUUGCUGCCAAGCAUUUUGCCUCUUAUUCUGUGUCAUCUCAAGCUGCUCCAUUCGCAUCUUAGACUUAAAAGCAUGUAUCUUUUUCCGUUUAGCAGCUCUCUGUAAAGGGUGAAGAUAGUUAAAUGGGACAAUACAGUCAAUAAAUGGGAAAUGAAAUGCAAAACGUGAGAAUACAAUGUAAAGUAAUGUAAAUUGGCACAAUGUCAACCAGGAAAACAAAAAACUACAGAAAUAUUGGUGUAGCAGUUAUGAAAAGCCUGGAGACUUUUUGAAAGUAACCAUGAUGAACAUUAAUAAGAUAUUCUCCACUGCAGCUUUCACUAGUCACAUGAAUAUGUGUGGAGUUAACAUGUUAAAUGAGUCCUAGACAGAAAAUUUUCUUCAGAAUAAAACACAAUGAACAUUUUGACAACAAAAUUGGCUUAAGUAGAUCAUUGAUCAAAGAGAUGCCAAGACUUCAGUCAGGCAAAAACAUGAGGCCUAUUAUGGAAAGUCCAAAGAAGUUAGGAGUUCUCCAACAGAUCCUUAAGGGAACAUACCACAUCUUCGGGAUCAUCAGGCUCAAUCCGAAGUUUUGCUGGUAAACUUCGAGACUGAAAGUCAGUGGAAGCAGCCUGUGCAAUUUUCCUUUUGAGAGCUUCUUUCGUAGCCUGAGCUAACUUUUCUGCUUCAAGUAAGGGAUUAACAGUUGCAUCAUGAAUUGGUCGAACAUUGUCUGGAUCAACCUGGAAGCAUAAACUGUCAAUGACACAUAGUUCCACAAAUUAAGUAAAGCAGUCUGUAGCAAAUGACAGCAAGCAGCAAGACAAAUUCCCACAUCAAAGGGUUCACAAACUAACUGCAACUUAAGGCAAAAAAAACCCAACUAGCAUGGCAUGUCAUCUGCAUUACAUAGUAAAUAUAUAGCACACUUCCCUUGUCUUAAUCUUAUAAUCAAAUGCAAUAAGAACUCUCCCCUUAGCCAAAGCACCAUAUCUCAAAAGAUCUUAAAGUACCUAAUGGAGUUGGUCAAACUUCGGCCAAUCCUAAUUAUUCACUUAAUACAUUUCUUGCCUUCACAGGUGAAACCAGAAAAAAGGGUUUCUGGUCAAGUUGAUUUGUAUUGCAAAUGGGAAAAGGCAUACUUUCCUUGUUUUCUCGACCACACAUACACCCCUGUUCCCAUCUUACAUGUCAUUGUCAACGUUGAAUAUAGUUAGAGAAAAGUAAAACUUGAGAAAAACACAUCAGCUACUAAAGCAGCUCUUUCCAUUAUUGCCCCUCAAUUCUACUUCAUCAUUUUUUAGUUCAGUUUUGAAUUUUAAAAAGGCACAACAGCUACUAAAGCAGCUCUUUCCAUUAUUGCCCCUCAAUUUUACUUCAUAAUUUGUUAGUUGAGUUUCGGAGAGCAGUAUUUAAACGUUUCUUGUUGGAAAUAGUAAGAAGUGUACAAUAGGAAAGUUUUAAUUUAUUUCGAUUUUAAACCAUGACAAGUAAUUUGGACAAACCAAUAUAAAAAUCAAGACGUAUAAAAUGGGACAGAGUGCUACAUUAAGUAGAGGGUUGUGCAGAGAUUAUAGAAGUAAACCAUGAUAGUAGCUUAUAAUGUUUUUGGAGGUCACGAAUUCAAGAUAUCAAAAGCCUGCAAGAACCUUAUGGACUAGAAUGUCAUUCAAUACCAUACCACUAAAAACAUAAUGAUAAAUACACAGUUUAACCAUAUUAUUACCAGAAACUAACAAUUUGGAAAGAGCAAGAAAGGAAAGGAAGACAACAGAACCAAGUCAAAAAAGUUUAACGCAUAACGAAUACUAUAAAUCUUUGUAAGAUGAUUUACAAGUGUAUUCCAAGAAGACAACUCCAAGAUAAUAAAGCAGUCUGGAGAACAUACCUCUUCCUUGUUACCCCAACCAUCAUAAUAAACAUAAUACCCAUUUGGAGUAUGCGCCUCAAUUGUUGCUUCAUACCUGAACAUUCAGCUAAAUCAAACACAAGAAAAUGGUAAAGCAAAAGCAGGAAUGAAACAAAUAACAUCAUCAGAGUGCAAAAUUAGUUGAAGUAAUCUUACGAACCAUUCACCAUCUUCACUAAAGACAGCUUGAACUUUGGUGCCAACAGGAAACUUUGAGUAAUCCAACAUAGAUCCCGAUUCCUAAGUCAGAAGACACAAGCAAAUAAACCUUAAGUGGCACAUCAAUGCUAUGUCAACAUUCCACGUGCAAAUUCUAGAAAAGUAGUUGGCUGCAAAGCUCCAAAACUUUACAUAUAAAUAGCAGAUGCUUUUUGCGAACAUAGAGCACAACUCAAUAAAGUAGAAAUGUAGAGCAAGAGUGUCCAAGCUGUUAGACAUCUAAAUUAAGUCUAAAUAGGGCAUUAGAAGAUCUAAUCACCUGCUUCUGAGAUAAAAAAUUCCAUAACUGCUCAAAACCCCUCCCCCCCCCCAAUAACCGUGCUAUUUUAGUCUGUAACCAUGUCAUAUCAUUUUUGCAACCCAAUAUUCUUUAUCAACUUUUCAAAGUUAACUUUGUCAAUUCUGAUUUCCAAAACCCCCUUUUAACCUGGCAGAAUUUGUGCCAAAGACAAUUGGAGGGGAUAAUCAUGGAAUUUUCUCUCUUCAAAUUUUCUCAAAAUCCAAGGUAAAUGCAAAAUGGUGUAUUGGCACAAGGAAGUGAUAAUUACAAAAAAAAAAAAAAAAAGAACUAUGAGGGACUGGAUGGCAGAGCCAACUCAAAUGAGACAGCCUAUGGUAACCUUAGUGAUGAAAAGUCAACAAAACAAUCUUAACAUGCACUUACAUUUUACUAUGCGCCAUAGUUCAGGAAAUGCAGACUGAUCUAAUUUUGCAUAAUUAGAAAAGUUUCUCAUUGUUAUCCCAUCAAGUAUCUGGAAAGGCUAAAACGUCAUGCUUCCUUUUCAUAAAAAUUGUUAAGGUGUUCUAAUCCAAUUCAAAAGCCCGUAGUCUUCAAAUAAGCUGGGACUUUCUGACUUGGCCAAAUGCUAGUACUUAAAAACAGUCAAUAUAAUUGCACAAACAAUUUCUUUGAAAAGGUAGAUUUGAAUAAGAUGCUGGUAAUCAAAGACAACAUUUAUGUAUCCAUACAAAAAUACACUCUCUUGCUACCAUUUAGUGGACUUUCCUAUUGCUAAGCAAGACAGCACUUGCAUUGACAAUGCUGGAAAAUAUGAGUCAAAAAUUAAAAGAAACUUAUAGCGAAAAAUUUCAGGAAGAUGCCUUGAAUUAAAAUCAUGGAUUCAAUCAAAGCCCUUUAAUCCACCCUUAAGAAGCAGACACACUUCCUCACUCUUAAACCAAAGAGCAACUCUUAAAAAAGGGUGGUGGUGGUGGUGGCUUUUUUGUGUUUGGGGGGGGGGGGUGGUCAAGCUAAAAUUCAAGAGUGCAAAUUCAUAUUACACAUUAGAAGGGGAUCUACCACAUUAGAAAAAUCCGCAGCAUGCCGCAAACUGAGAGAUGCAUCACCACUAGCCCCAACACCCAAUCCUGAAUUUUCGUUUUGUCUUGCAGUUGCCAAGAGCUCUUCUGUCAAAGAAAUUACCUGCAAUCCAAGAAAAUUAGCCAGUCCAGACUUAGUUAAUCAGAUCAACUGUUUCUGCCAUAAAAUUUCAAAAUUAUUGUUAAGUUUCGAACUUAGAAUCACAGAUUGACAUCUGAAAUGACAUGUCAGAAGUAGGCCGGCCAUCAUGACUCAUAGCAAACCUGCAAUGGAAUGAAGACAAAAAUGAUGGAAAUCUUGAUAAAUUUUUUUACCCCAAAUUUUUGCAAAAAUGUGCUCUCUGCUCAUUCCAGGUGUCUGAAUUUCAUUUUAACCAAAAAUGCAAACUCACCUUCAGACCCCAUCAUACAGCAUCUCCAUCAGACUGCUUGUUCGAGCAAUAUAAUAAUUUCACAAAAAUAUGCUUGCAUGCACACUUGAAAGUAUUGCCCAUACAAAGCAAGAGAGAGAAAUGUAAUCAAGCUUUAGAUGAAAACAAAAAGAACCACAAUCGUAUUAUUAUUUUACAUGACUGGUGCUAUUAAUCAAGUGUCCUGAAAUAAAUGAUCAAACACCCACUCCACUUCUGCAUGACAAUCCUAUAAGCCAGAUGUCUUCACAAUUCAGAAAGUACAAAAGAAAUACAAAGGAGGAAAAGAUUCCAUUGGCAAGGUUACCUCUAAAAGCUCCUUCUCCAUGUCCAAAUAUUCAGAAUUUCCAGGCUCAUCAUCCAGGAGCUUGCGGACCUAGAAAAAAGUAACAAUUUCAUGACACUAUCAUUUUGAUGUGCAUUUCAUACACGAGAUAAUCAAACAAGUAUUACAUGUAGUGUAUGCUACUGAAUAUAACAGUUGGAAACUCAUGAAGAGAAUCAACAAAAACAUUUUUCUCCAAGUUUAGAACUAAAGCUCACUGAUUUUAGCAAACAUCAUGCCAAUUGAAGCUAUUGGCAUAAAAUCUACUCUGUUGACAAAUUUAUGCACAAGUAACAUACUCAGUAAAACUAGAAACUUUUAUAAAAUACCAGUUCAAAUCUCUUCAGUAUGUGGACAACCUUUUUCCUAUUGGUUUCCGCUUUCAGCACAUAUUCCAAUGAAAAGUCCUUUAAACACUCCCAACUAACACAGAGAAGAAGUUCGCAUUGUUUGAACAAGAAAAUUAGAAAACAUAUCCAGUAAACUAAUCUGCAAAAUCAGUGCCGUUAGUAAACGAUAAACAUAUACCUAAAUAUCUACGAAGUGCUCUCAAAUUAUCUAAUGCCAAAAAUGUAAUUUUAAGAAGCCCGUGAACUAGCAAUUUACAACAGUUCGAUCAAAUUAAAGAAACAAAAACCCUAAGUAAAACAACAAAUCAAAAUCACGAAAAUUCAAGAAGAAAACUCGAAAAUAACUUUGAUAGUACCUGUUGAAGCUGUUCCUUAUACGUGGAGAGAUUCGAAGCGAGUUCUUGGACGCUCACCUCCUCACUUCCGCUUUCCAUCUUUUUUUUUUUUUGUAUGUUUGGUUUUCCUGGAUUUACCUCCGAAAUUUAAUCAGUUAUUGAAGAGCUACUUAUCAGAUUAUUCAGAAAUUUAAUUGAAUUUAAAGAGACGGUGCGCAUGAGAGACGACAGAAAGCCUUGGGGUUGAGGUAAUUUGUUUGUUUGAGGGAAAGGGACGAGAGAAACCGGUGAAGGUUUUCUACUUUUUUGUUUUAUGUAUAUUGUUGUAUAUUGCAGAUGAGGAUAAUUACAGCCACAGUUUUCUUUAAUUUCCAAAGAGGUACCUAAAUGCUUUGAAUUUCUCAGGUUCGCCCCUGUGUAAAUAAAUGGUGAUUGGCGGCCCUUCACAAUUUUCUCUGUCAAAAAACUGAAGGCCCAAGUCCCAGUCCAAAGUGGUAACAUCAGGCCUUUUAUGCCGGUUCACAAAUAACAAGAUAAGACAGCUAUUGGGCCUUGCUUGGUCCGAUGGACAGGAAGAGACUCUUUAAAGUUCCUAGAGUUCUCGUGUGUGUGUGUGUGCGUGCGUGUCUCAAAUUCAACCCCAUCUAAUCUAGUGCAUCACAAGCAAGCAUCAUGCAUCCUUUAAUAUAAAAAACUCAUACAAGUGCUCCCCCAUACAAAAUACUCAUAAUUUUGGACUCUCCUCUGAUACGCCCGCGUGGUCUAAUAGUUUACCCCCAAAUACUCUUGGAUUCCUUUUCCCCCCCCCCCAUAGCAUAGAUUAGCAUAGGGUUCGUUUGGUUCGAAUUGGUUAAAGCCGCUAAAUAUCGAAUUGAAUUUGGAAGCAAAACGAAAGAAUUGAAAUGACUUGGAAUUCCAGUUCAUAGAAUUCCAAUUCUAUAGAAUUUCAAUUCUAAUUCUGUAGAACCAAACGUACCCUAAGAGUAAUUUAGAUUGUUAAAGAGUUCGGCACAUCACCAACUCAACUGGUAGAAAUAUUAGAGUAAUGUAAAUUUAUUUUUAAAUCAUUUUCCUCGUAGAGCAAAGAAGAGCCGGCGAAGAGUCACCGUUGAAUACAGAAAAAAUAUAGAAAAACAAAAGGCAUUGCUGCCGGCUGAGGAAAAGGUUAUUUCAGCUUAAAAGUUCUUUUUUAAAUGCAUAGUUGAUGUACUUGGCUACUCGGCAACUGUUUAAGUCUCUAAAAGCAGUCCAAAUGUUUGGCAUUACAAACUAAUAAUUGUCCAUGCUAACGCAGGAGAGGAUAAGAAUUUGAAGAAACAAUACAUGUUGCAUAUGCCACCAAGACGCAAUGGAUCACAUGUCACUAAGAACUGACAAACCAGACUUCAAAAAUUCCAAUAGAGCGUGGGGGCAGUGACUGACGUGUGAAUAGCGUCAAAAUUCCGAGUCUUCAAAUUCUGUUUCUAGGUUGAAUGGCUGAUGCAAUCUAAUCAAAUCAGAUGCCGGAGAUCUGGGUCGUGCGAGGAGUCCCUAUGUGGGAGAUCUUACUGAGCCAACGUGGUAGCGCUGACACAGACUCGAGGGAAAAGCAAAUGAUCCUCACAUAACUCAACCAAAAUUUCGUAAUACGCCAAGGAUUAACAGCGGCCAAUUUUUCCUGUGCUCGGAAGUCAGGUUUCUGGGGGCAAAUUUCUUGCUAAAACUAGCAACCCAGCUGAAUUUUACAACAAUUUAGGGGUUGGAAGGGGAAAGUGAUAACCUAGUGCACAGAUAACUGGGGGGAAAACCCAAUAAAGAAGAAAAUGUAAAGCAGCGAAAGAAUGGGAAAACUAGGACUAUGACUAUACAAUGCCAACCAAAUCAGCCUUCCCCAAAAAGGAGUGAAUUGCACCAUACCAUUCUCCACAAACCCCAUCUAGCUUGUAUUCUGAACCCAUCAAUAUUCCAACGGUAUAACUUGUAAAAGGCUCUCCCGGAGAAAUCAAGCAACGAUCAUUUUCUUCACUUCAGCAUGAACCUCAGAGGUGGGUUUAAAAAAUUCUCACUCGUUUCGAAUAGAACAAUAAUUGUCCCAUAGUGUUUGAGAUUUUCCAAUUUCAUUCAUGAGAUUUUUGAACUUGUGGCUGCAGUCUCCUCCACUGCAAAACAAAAGACAAAGUAACACGAAUCAAAAGCUAAUAAUUUAAAUUUAUAGGAAAGAGGAGAACAUCCAUAAAAACUGGCAUUCCCAUUAUUGCUUUGACAGGAACUGCCAUUGUCAUUAUUGCUUGACAGGAAACAUGAGACCAUUAGAACGCCAGAAGCUCAUGCACAGAAGCACUGAAAGUUUGGCAAGGCACUAAGUGUAGCUUGCUUCAAAAGUGUGAAGCGAAACAGUUCUAAGAAGCAAAGCGUGGGGUAUGAAAGGCACACUCUAAUGAGCCAAAGGUGGGUUGUAAGACGAGCUAUUUGCAUGCAGCUAGAUGAAGCUCGAAGUACUUUGCAACGUCAGGCAUAAUAGCUAUGUCAUUCAUUCCAUCACAAGUAUUACUGACCUCCGCCUAAAACUAAAAAUUUAGAUGGCCACCAAGCAAUGGAAAUGAUCAAGCGCAUUAUUACAAACAAAAAGUCAACCAUUUGUUUACUUUGAUAAAUUUUGCUAGCAAAGUGAUACAAAUAACAUACAUAUAUAUACAAAACUUGGCUUCCAGUCAUACUUCAUUGUCAUAAAAGAUAUCUAUCUACUCAAAUUUCAAGCUGAUAAACCAGAAAAGCCAAACUCCUCUCUUACAAGAUAUUCUAAUAACUGCCAACGCAAGAUACUGGCCCCAGCCACAAUUCAUCUACUUUUUGAGACAAAAUUUUAAAAAGAAAAAUGAAAUGACAAGUUCCAAGGAGGACAAACCCAGGCGCUUGCUUGUGUUAAUUUAAGAAAGUCAAUCAAGUAAGCUAAAGUUGUGAAGGAAACGAAAAGAACAAUUAUCUGUGUGAAACUCCCAAAUAAGGGGGAAGGGGAAAAAAAUAAACAUACCUUAUGCGGUUCAAUGAUGCAAUUGCUCGAAGGGCACUCCUAACCAUGUCUUCAUUACGAUCAACUUCUUGCUUGACUGCAUCCUGUUUUGGCCUGAAACUAACAGUUUUUUGCAAGGGAUCCACCAAAGAAUCCAAAACUGGAAGCCAACAGAGUUAGUUGAUGAAUAAAAAAAUAAUCAGCUAAAAGAUCAACAAUCAAUAUUCAGAUUGAAAUACCUGCUAAUACGGCAGAGGGGCACUUAUCCGCAAGUUUUGAGAGGAUAAGAUGACAAGGCAUUUUAACAUCAUAAUGAUCUAUGAAGCCCAAAAACCACAAUUAAUUUAGUGAAAGACAAGCAGAAUAAGGAUCAGAACAAUGCUUGAUACACACAACAAAGGCAAUGAGAUACAGUGCCUAAGAGUUGAAAAAGGCAAGCAUAAGAUGCUAAAUUUCAGAAAAUAACUUACCUUCCAAACCAGAUUUGAGGUAAGGAACAAUAAAAGAUGAUGGAUUCACUUGAUCAAGACAACUGUCCAACAAAGUGUCAACACAUUCAAAAGCUGCUUUUCUCAAUUCAAGCCCAUCAUCUACUGUGUGCUUGAAGGGACCCAGAUCAACUGUUCUAAUCAGUUCUUGCUGCCAACAAAGAGGAGAAACAAGUUAACAUAAAUUAUUCUCAACUCAUAAAAGAAAUUAAAAAUUUGGUGAUGUCUAAUGCCCACUCAAGUUAAAAUAGCUUUAUAAAAAGGUUCCUAAUUAGAUUUGCUAUCAAGAUCAACUGUUAAAGACUUUCUGCUUUACAAGAUAAUGUACCAAUUAGCCACAGAAAUGGGUUUUGAUUUAUCCAAUGCAACUCUGCAGAUGCCAAAGUUAUGUGUGCACACUUAUGAGUCAACUAUAAGGGCAAUUGAUAAAUUUCACAAACUGUCAGCAGAACAAUUAUGAACUUACAAACAGCAACCUUUACCCUCCCUUCCUCUGAAAAAAGAUUCCACAGAUUCCAAGGUAUAGAUAGUCAAAACUUGUAACAAAGACAAGUUCAGGAACUGAAAAACAUGGGUAAUCCAGCACAUGACAUGCAACACUAGCUUUAACCAGCGCAACAUAGAGUAGAACUAUGGAGUCAUGCAUUAAGUGGUGUACAAGCCUAUGCUUCAUUUUUCUCAUAUUUUGCACGUAGACGUUAAAGUUUACCUUUUAUAUAUGAAGAAUGGGGGGUUUAGCGUUUUGCCUUCUUUUCGCCACAUGGCUUUCUGUUGAUGCAACAAGUGGUACAUCUGUAUAUUCAGAACAAUGAUAUCCUUCAUUGCUUUUGUUGGUCUUUGUUAAUGGGCCCAAUGAACUCAAAAGAUUUCAGCCUAACGAAUAAAUUGUAUUGUCAUAUUAUAACUGUUUGGCCCUUAACGGUGGCCUUUACCCAAAAGAAAGGAAACAAAGAAUGUGACCUUUAUUUAGUUCUUUGAGGCCCAAAGGGUUAAUCUUAACUUAAUUAACUUAUAAUUAAUUUACUUAUUAUCUGGUUGGGUGGAUGUGCUGUCUAAACCAUGACUCUUAGAUUAGGCUUAAUGGACUAAUAAUAGAUUUCAACCCUGAGAUAAUUUUCAAUUAAACUCUAAUUACAAUUUCGCUAUUGUUACUUACAAUAACAUUUCUUGCACAUUGCUAUUCUUGCCAUUGCACAUCGUUUUUUUUUCCCUUUUGCCUUUUAUUCAUGCCAAGUCAAAUAAGUCUAGCCCUUAUGUUUAUGGGUGCUCAUUGGCCAAUAAUCGGGAAUUCGGUAAAAAAAAUUUGGUAAUUCGAAAAUUGAUUUUUUAAGACCAAUAUCCGAUCACCGUCCAAACCUUAGUUUGAUAAAUUGGAUCAAAGAACCGGUAAUUCGGUAAUAUCCGAAAUAUCGAUAGUCAGUUAAAAUAUUUUAAUUUUCUCUAAAAAAAAUUGUUAUAACAAAAUAAUAUCUUAUAUGUUUUUCCAAUAAAAUUCAAUCAACUCAAACAAACAUGAUAUUAAAAAAAAACCGUUCAUAAUUCUAAGCCCUAACUUAUAAUUUCAAUUCUUAAACAACAUUGAAAUAUAUAAGAACUUCAAAUUUAAUUGUUAAGCUAAACUCCAACGUAUCAACUUCCAUUAAAAUUUAACGUCCAAAUACAGUUAUAGUUAAGUUAACUAAUUAGUAUUUAGUGAUAGGGGUAAGAUUUACUCUUAUUUUUAGUAAUAUACAUAAGUGGGCAUAUAUUCUCCUUUGACUCCUAUUGAUUUUAUGCAAAAGUAUGGUUUACUUAAUUGUUCUUGAAAUUUUAAGAUGGCAUGGGCUGUGCUUUACAUAAACAAGGACUUAGACCUUAACUACCAGUUUAACUGGCCAUUCAUUACCAUCAAUUCAAUCACACAAAUAAACAGUAAAACUUAGAUUGCCAGCAUUAAAUAGACUAAAGUCAAAAGAGAUGCUACUAUCCAACCAAAUCCUCCCAACACUCGCGCUCCAGAGAAAUAAAAUUGGGUAACUUUCAACUGGUUCCUUUCUCCACCUUUAACAAACUCCAAAGAAUUAGAAUUCAAUAACCGUGUACAUUUACUUGCCUUAAUUAUCGUCUGGUCAUAUAGUAGUGGCAAAAGUUCAGGUAAAAGACCCUUUAUCAAGUUUGGCUUAUUAUGGGCUGCUGUAUUCAAGGCCAAAACAGCUGCACGCCUAACAUGCUGCACAACAGUUAGAGAGGAUAAGAUCAAUGAAACAACCCAAGGGGAAAAAAAUAUAGAAAGCUAGAGUAUCUCCCCCCCCCCCAAAACACCCCCAAAAAAACCAGAGAGAGAGAGAGAGAGAGAGAAGAAGGAACGUAGGCCAAUCAAGUCUACCUCAAAUUAAAGUCCAUGUUAGCUUACUCUGGAUACUUUUAGACCAGAAGGGUCAAAACAUAGCAUGAAAUGAUUAAAUGAAAUUUCCAUCAGAAAACAGAAGAUCUAAAGCUAUUCUCACAUAAUAUAUACCAUCCUGGGAACAGAAUUUUGAUGGUCUAAACUGACGGUCUAAACUACAAUAAAUUCAGUACCAUCAGUUCUGAACAAACUGUUUUCACGAUAAACUAAUAUACCCAUAUCAAAAACCAUUCAGGUUAUAAGACCGGUCAGCAAAGGACUGCAGCAGCAGGUAGUGAUCAGCUAGUUGGAGUAACCAUUGAGUCUAAAUAAAAGUACAAAGAAAAGGGAGAGCAAUUUGAUUAAAAAUUGGCAAUCACUAAUUGAGAAUAUAAUUAUCAUCUUCUGCAGUGCAAUAAAGCAACAGAAAAGGGACUUAUCACCUUUAAACAUUCAAGUUGAAAUUACAUAAAAUUAAGUUGAGCAUUCAUGUAUCAUGUACAGCAAAAGAAGCCAAAUACAAAAGAUCUCCAAACCAUUAUAAGCAGAACUGGAAAGCUUAAGACAUCAUAAGCGAUAAUAUAUACAACUUUGCAUAUUGAAAGGGAAAUUACCCGAUCUUGAUCCUUUAUGAGCAUCAGGAAAGAUGAAAUUUCAGACUGCAGAAUUGCAUCUAUCUUCCCUGGACGCUCAACUAUAGCAUAUUUUACGCCAAUGACAACCGUUGCUCGGGUAAAUGCAGCUGGAUAAGUGGUACGGUCCUAAAGAAAGGAAAAACAUGUUGAUUGUUGGGCUGUUAUCAAUUGUACAAAAGAAACUGUGCUAGCCAUAUAAAAAGAGAUCAACGAAGCAUUAUUGUGUGUAGCGCUACCUUGAGAGCAGGAACAAGUUUUUGGGGUUCAAUGAGGGCAAUUUUUCCCAGACACUCAGCUACAACAUUGCGAACACCCUCUUCCUCACUUUCACAGUGGUUAAAGAGCAGAUUAAGUAUCUUCUCAACACUUGAUUCCUGAAAGUCUGAUCUGUCCACUGACUGUCUUACAAUGACCUUAAGGAAGGAUUCAUUUCACAAGUUUUAGAAAAUAAUAAAAGAUCAAGCAAUUAAAAAGAAUAUCAUGAGAGAACUCCAUAUCAAUGGCAUACCUCCUUCAAUGAGUGUAAUAGUAGAUAUUGUUUCUUCUGUUGAUUAUCAAUCUUGUCCAAGAUAAAUGGCAGAUAUUUUUGUAGAUUACCAACAGCAAUAUUCCCAAGAGCAUAAGAGGCAGCUGAUUUGAUCUCUUCAAAAGGAGAUUGGAAUGAUUCAAUGAUAAUACUCUCGAUCUGAACAUGUGAGCUUAGAUCCUUUCUCCUCCCAAUCUCUCCCAAGCAAAGCAACGCAAGAUGUUGUUUGGCCUAGAAAAAUGGAAAAUAAAACAAUAUCACAAAAUGAUAACAAAGGAAGAGGAGCUCAAAAAAAAAUAUAUAUAUAUAUAUAUAUAUGUUAAAUUGCCACUCUCAUACUAGAUUCAGCUUAUCACAAAGCUUAAAACACACGUAAUUCCCAACUUACCACCAAAAAGUACAAAUAAAUAAAUUCCACUUGUGUUAAAAGACACACACAAUGUGCAUGCAAUUUAGAAAUAAUUAUUAUUUUCCAUGAAUAUAUAUAUUUUGUUUUUACACAAAUAAAUUUUAUAUAAAUUAUUUAUUAACAAACUUCAAGUUAUGAUAAUAAAUAAUUUUGGUGGUUACAAUAUUUACAGUAGUUAUGAGUGCAAUGUUGGCAAAUGUGAUUAGGGUACAAGUUAGUUUUUCUUAGGAUAAAAUUGGAAGGUCAAAAAACGACAAAAAUGUUUACACCAACUGCCAUUGCUCUCCCUUUAUAUAGUGUAUAGAUAUGCAGACCGACGCAUGCAUGAUAAUGUAAACCACAGAUGGAAGCCCUUCAAGGUGGCACUUGAGUGCAAAGCUAUACAAGUAACAAAUGUCUGCAAUCUAUGUAGAAACCACUUUCAAUUUCUUAGCAGAUACAACAAUAUCAUGCCUAAUUGCAAGCACUUAGCAUUCUAGCAAAACCUUCUCUAAAGCACCUAGCAUCAGCUAAAUUCGGUGAACAAUAAUAUGAGACCAAUAAAAACAUAUAAACCUUUAAGAAUAGCAUGAAGGUUAUCAGAAACAAAUUCAGCUAAAAACUACUUUUCACCGCAAGAUAAACUUUUCCAAGAACAUUGAGAUAUGAUAUGAAUAGCUUUAUCACUUGUAAUUUUUAUAUGAUAUUAAUCUAAGCAAGCAAAAAUCAUAUGGAAAAUAAGGCAUAAAAGUUUUUCUAGUCUAGGCUAGGCUUACCGAACUUGUGCUGCUGUCAUCUUUCAAAAUGUCCGUCAGCAUGUUAACGGUAGAUGAACAUUUCUUAUCACCUGCAGCAAGGCAAAGAACGGCUACACACUGAGCAAUGGAAAAUAAAGCCUGCUUUGCAACACCACCAGCCUGUGGAGAUGGUUUGGCAGUUGAAAGAAGAGAUUCCAGUAAUGCAUCAAAGCUUGUAUUUGCUGAGGAAACCAAUGCAGCAAAAAAAUUCCGCAAAGCCUGCAGGUUUGAUAAAAAGAAAGUUAAUGCAAAGAAGACUGCUGUACAUCAACCAUUUUAUAGAGUACAAAAUGUGCAACGUACAAGAAGUGCCUGUCCCUGAAGCAAGGAGCUUUUCACCAAAGUUAAUGCUUGAGGAAGAACUUUAUUUCUGACAGUCAAACCCACAUUAGGGGUUGAUCUGCUGUCAGACAUUAAGGUACAACAAAGUUCCAGGGCUAGUGCUGUCAUAUGCAAGUCGAAGUCACUGGAGUUCAAGAAAAGCACCAUCAGAACUUUUUCAUUAAUUAGCCCAUGACAUUGAAAACUCAUAAACAGAUACAUAGGUACAAAAUGCAGUUUAACACAAAAUACUAGCAAGAAACCUUAUCAAAGUAGAGAGUUCUAUGACAAUGACUUCGCAAGCAGCUGAACCGAUUUUAUCACCAUAAGCAACUAUCAGGGUGUUUAAAGUCCCAAGUGUUGCCUGUCUUAGUGCGCGAUUGGCCUAUCCAUAAGCAAGUAAAGGAGAUCAGACAUUUCUUCAAAGGUAUUAUAUCAUCUUGAUUAAAAAAAAUGGAAAAGACAAAAUUACUUGUUAAAUGACAAAUUUUCUCACCUUUCUUAAGAAUGCGGUCAACUCUGAAAUUACAUGCUCUAAAACACAAGAUAGGUCAAGAUGCAGUGGAGAAGCAGCAAUGACAGCAAAUGCCUGGAGAGACAAUACAUUAAAGCUUCUACACAUGUAAAAGUAGUUAAGCAGUAAGUUCUGAAAGUAUCCAAUGUCUAACACUAUUACUACUAUGUCAACAUAGUGAGAGGAAAAAUAUUACCACCCACUAUCAACUCUUCUCCACUUGCCAAUAACAAGAAUACAAAAAAUAGAAGAGAAGAUAGGGCUACCAUACCACCAGCAAUAACAUUUUUCUGCAAGAUUUCAGGAAAGGAUGGGCAAUGUAAAAGAAAAUGACACAACAAUGUCAAAAUUUAGAUCUGCAGAGGUAAAAUUAUGAACCUAAAAGCCAAAUUUUCUCUGCCACUAAGACAUAACAGGAAUUCCACAAAUCAAUAUUAUAUAGAUUAAAUGGUUGACAAAUCAUCAACUAAACUCUUGACUACAGAAACAUGCCACCAUUAGAUGGUAACAAGAUGACCAAGAAAUAGUUUAUCAUGAUAGUGGAAAAAGCAUUUACAACAGAAAUGUGAUGCAGCUAUUCUCCAAUUCAAAAUCAUGGGGGAAAAGUGGUUGGAUAAUCUCUAAAAUCAGUUGCCACUUUACUUCAAUCAAAUAUCAAGCCAACAAGACAAAAAAAAUGAGGGGAGUCAUAAGAAGCCUAAUGACAGCCACUCAACAACAGUUUUAUCAUUGAAAAAAAAAAUCAUUAUCAAGUACCCAUACCAACUUUCGUAAGAGGUUCUUUUCUAGUCAAUGUAUUCUAGAAACUAAACCAACCUUCACAGCAGUUAGCCGAGUUAUCUCAUUCCCCAUUCGAUCCACAAGCACAGGAAGGCAUGCUGGUAACUCCCCUCUGAGAUAAUCACCAAACGUUGAAACAACAAGCCCCAUACAUGUAAUGGCACUUUCCUUAACCUCCUGCAAAGGAAGAAUGAUGAGACACUCCAAAGUUGUAUUGAGCUGGAAGAAAGAAAAUUAUGGAUACAAAUGUUGCAAACCUGAUCCUGAUCUUGAUUUGCCAAACGGGCCAUGAUAGCAUUAUAUAUUGGAUGAACAUAGGGUUUGAAAUCAAAACCAGAACCCUGAAAAGGGUAUCCCAUUAGCAUCUGACAAAGUAACCCGAAAUAAGAGAUGCACGAAGUAGACACAAUCUAACCUCAAUAUUUGGCCUCACAACACGAACAAGUUCUCCACAUACUCUAAGUGCUUCAGCUGUAACUUUAUAGUAUCGCUCACCCACAGCGGAUAUAACAGGAGCUGAUAUGGCCUGAAAAUAAAAUGGGGAAGCCAGAACCAAACUUUUUGGGACGUCAACGGUUCAACUAGAGGAUAUCAUACAUGGUAUAAUGCAUCUCUAAGAAUUAUAAAACAUGAAAAGAACAUUAUAAACAUAUAAACAUUUUUUAUUCAUUAAAAAAAAGAGCAAUGAACCCAGAAUUGUCCAUCUCAUCUUCAUUCAGUAUUUUUUUCAUUUCUCUUUAACCUCAGAAAAGGUUUCUAUUGCAAAGAAGCUUAUAUAAUACAAUACAAGACCAUCAUUGAUUUCCUCUUAGAGGUUUUUAAUUAUUAAAAUUAACUGUACAUAAGAAAAUAAACAACAUUUACUUCAUGUCAUACACGUCAACUGCUUCUGCAAUUUCACCGUCAUUGAUUUGCUCUUAGAGGUUUUUAAUUAUGAAAAUUGACUGCACAUAAGAAAAUAACCAAAAAAAUUACAUUUACUUCAAGUCAUACACAUCAACCGCUUCUGCAAUUUCUUUCCCUUUCUCACUUCUAGGCAAAUGAAAACAAAUGAGAGGAGCAUGUAACACUUUUGCCAGUCAUUCGGUGUAUAGCUAUACAAGCUAAAGCUUUUCUAGAUAUAAUCUAGAAAACUAAUCUAAAAAUGAGUAAAAUGGUAAAUUAACACAACCAACAUCGAAGAGAACCUUAUUCUAAGUACCUGACAUGUUGGAAGACAUAAUAAUACUUACCAUAUCCACAAACUAAAAGGUAUGUCUCAAUCUUUCAGUAAAUGUACAAGCUUGUAGUUCUGGAUUAGUUUCAGGGGUAUAAGCUGGAGAGUUCCAAUGUGUUUCCAUUUUUCCUUGAUAUAUCACAUGUAUAAGCUACAAUAUCUCGUGCAACCCAAAGCAGGAAACAAGAGUCAAGAAAAAAUGGCUCAGUGGAUUUGGGCAACCAAAAAGAAAUGACCUAACAUCACUCCUUACAGGAAUGUGAUAUUAAACAAUGAAAACCAGCCAACAUUUUAAACAGCAAGGAUGAAGAAUGCAUCUGAUUGCUUAAAAUGUUAUUAAAGUACUUGAUUGCACAACACUUGACGAACAAUUUGACAUUCUUGAAAAGUUUAGAAGGUAGAAUGAGUUAUAAGACAAUACCUUAAUAUAAGGAUGGAAAACAGGAGGUGCAUGAGAAGCCAAAAUUAAUCUUGUAAAAGUAAGAGCUUCAAUCUUCAAAUUUGAAGUAGAGGACUUAUCCUGAUAAAUUUUUGAAAAAAUUUAAAAAACCAGUAAAAUACCAGAUUAGUUUUUUAUAAACAACAUCAAGAUAAUAAGAAUUUUGUUUCACAUAUGAAUAAAUAAAACUCACACAUAAUGCUUUCUCAAAUCCAGGUAUAAGAGAUCCAAUGUGCUCAGCAAGGCAAUCAGGCAAGACCACCACCAGUUCUUUCAAAACUGAAAAUGCACCAACCUGCAGAGGAAACACUAUAAGAAAGUCGUAGAACAAAAAAUGAACCUUUAUCACUUCAGAUGAUAACACUUGGAGACAAAAUAAAACAAGUCCCUGAAUCAAGACAAAUAUAACAGCACAACUGUAAGGUUAUAGAAGUCAACCUUUGUUUUGACAGAUUUCUCUCUUAAUUGCCUAUUGAUGGACCGAACAAUUUUAGGCACUUCUUGCUUCAAUAACCAUCUAGGACUGCAAGAUACAUCGUUAAAAUAGAGAAAAACCCAACAUUGAGCAGAAAACAGCUGAAUGCCACAACAAAUUGGUCAUAAUCACAAUCAGCAGGGAAGCUUUAGACUACUUCGGUAUUGAUGGGAGAUGCAACACAACAAACAGCAAAAUCCAAAGAUAAGGAUUUUCCACAAAUGUGGCUAGAUACAUCUUGUUGCUUUCUAAAGUGAAAAUUUGAACAGAAAAGUGCCAACACCAGCACAGUAAAAGCAUGCAAAAACAAGGUGAAAAAAAAUUAAUAAACCUAACCGCACCCGGUACGAAACUUGCCCAUAUAUCUCUUCAACUAUUGUCAAUGCACCAGAUGCACUAGACAGAAGCAAAUUGAGAAUAUCAUAGAGAACAGAUUUCAAUCCAUGGAUGCAUGGCAAUGAUAAGCUGUAAGAAAUUACUUGUUAUCAUUUUCUAUUUAACAAAUUAACCCCCUCAACACCCCCCCCUCCAACAAAAGAAAAAAAAAAGAGAAAAGCAAUAGAAGCUAUCUAUACAAAUUGAUACAAGAUUAUCUCCAGCAAUAACUAGAACUCACAAGGUCCCAAGCUUUACAGGUCAGCAGUUUAACUAGGUAAUAAGAAAAUCUUGCCUUGAUUCUUCAAACUCCAUCUGCCCUUUCGUAACAUUUCCAGUUUGUCGCAGCAACGCAAUGAAAGUAUUGAACACAUCCAUCUGUGAAAAAGAUAAUCAGAUGCUUUACAACAGGAAGAUUUAAAUUUGAAAUCCAAAACAUUCAGUGGCAUUACCUUGACAUUUUCUUCCCUUUCCUUAAAUCGGUCAAUUAAUUUUGGACAAGCCUGCACAAGAAAUAAACUUGAACUGUAAAAGUAAUAAAUGCAAUGCAUGAAUUCAUUUCAUUUACAUGCAUUUAACCAGCAGCAAAAGUUUAUCACCCUUUCCAAGGAAAAGAUAAAUCCUCCAUCAAUUGUCAGCAUGAAAUCCCUAAUUAUGUGACAAUCAAAACUGACACGGAAAUUGAAAACCUGCAAACAAAAAGCUGAGACAGCCUUUCUUGGUAUAUGCAAAUUGGUUUUAGAAUAGCUUAAUAUACCUUAAGACUGUAGAUAUUGUAACUCAUUACUUCUUAAUGUUGACCUAAACGCUUUUUCAACAGUUAAUCAUGAAAAUUAAAAGGAUGACUAACUUAUUCUCUAUUGUCAUGUAAACCCUUUUUUUUUGUUUGAGGUGGUGGGGUGUGUGUGUGUGUGUGUGGGGGUGGGGGGGGGGGGGAAGGGAACCACUGGACAAAAGAACUUUUGGUAAAAUGGGAUCCAACCUAAUCUUUCACAUAUUGAAAGCAAAGUAAUUUCACAAUAAUGUCAAAGCAAUAAUGUUCAUGGAAGAAAUAGAAGAGUACGAAAAAUCAGAGUUGCCCCUUAUGUACCUCUUCAUAUAGCUUUCCAAGCAGCUCAGGGCGAGAAACAAUUAGUCCCGCCAAGCACUUGGCUGCAGCCCUACGGACUUUCCAGCUCACAUCUUCGUCAUCCGUAUACUCAUUUUCACUCUCACUAAUAUACAAUAAAAAAUGGGAAGUCAGCUGAAACUCUAUAAUAGACAGAUCAAUACAGGAAUAAGCAAACCAAUAUUAACUGAGAACAUACUCAUCUUCUUCCUCCUCAUGACUUUCAUCAUCAGUAUCUUCCUCCAUGUUAUCAGUGAAAUUUGGAUCAUAACUAAGAAACUCCAAUGUAAGGUGGAGAAUUUCAUCACAGUAAGAAGAAAUAUCUCUAGGGCACCUUAGUAAAAAACUCUCCAAUGCCUAGGAACAAUAAUUCAAUAUCUUAGAGUGCAUUAAAGCAGAGAAGCCAAUACAUAAUGUUAACAAAGGGAAAAAAACUCUAAUUAACAAAUGAAAUACCUGCAAGCUAUAUUCACGAAGCUCCUCAUCAUUCUCUGAUGCACUUGUGCAAUAGUUUAUUAGAACUGGAACAGUAUCUCCAAGGUGGGGACCAAAACGAUAGCCAACAGCUCGGCUAGAGAUAAAAGGUUCAUGAUCAGUCAAAUCAGGAUUUCUCAUUGAAUAAAUACAGAAAAGACAAUAAUGAGACACCAAGAAAAAGCUAUAGAAAUGUUGAACAAUCUCAUGAGCCCGUACAAAGCAUCAUAGAGAGAAAAACUAUUCUCAAAUGCUAUUGCAAUCAGACUAGCAACACGUCAACCUCGUUCGGAGGCUUUUUAACCAUGCUCCUUUCAUGAUGCAAAAUCUUACACACAACUUUAACCCAUGUUUCCUGGCUUACAGAAAAUACAACAUAAAAUAAAUUCUAUUAUGUAUUUUGAUGAAUUUUAAAGGAUAGCAUGAGAAAGAGUAACCAAGGCAGAAUACAAAUGUUCAUCUCAAUGAGACCAAAGUUGGGAAAUGUUUCUUCUCCCAUGAAUUGAAAUAUUGCAUUUUUCAUUUCUUAUUUUCAGCUAGUAUAUACUCAUUUUGUACUUUGAAAAAAUAACCUUUAUUAAUCAAAGACAUAGCUCUGACUAAGAAUACGUGGGGUCAGAAAUUAGUUUUCCUUUCCCUCACACAACUUGAUAAGUCAAUAAAAAUCUUUCAAUACCUACAGGCAAAAUUAUGUCAUCCACAUCCAACAAGUGGACUGACUGCAAUAAAAGUUUAGAUCCAAAAGGAAAGCCUCCAAAUGUGAGUAAAAUUAAGAAGCAUGAAAGCCACAUCUAAAAACAAACCUUAAGGCCCCGCUCAUCUGAAUGUUUGUUCGUGCCAUUUCAGAUUUUGAAGCCCUAUUUUUCAAAAGCCGAACAACUUCGCCAGUAGCUUUUGCCAGCAAGUCAUCUGACAAGCUUGAAGCCAAAGAUGCUGAAGGAAGACACAGAUCACAAUCAGAAUACUCCAUCAAAAGUCUCAUGGGGAUUUUCUUACCAAUCAAAGAAUCAUUUACAGAACAUGCAAACUCCUCAAUUUGAGUAUAUUUGUGCUUACCAAUACAUGAGACAGUCUUCUUCCUAACUGUGGCUUGAUUGGAACUUAACUGAGGUAGUAAUGCAGCUAACAGUGGCUCAUGGUCUGAAGCCAUCAAAUUCCCAUAUUUGUGAAGAACAUCACAUAAAAUGUCAAGACAUUCACAUUUUAUUUCUGUGCUCAUUCCCUGGACAAGCAAAUAAAGGAUAUAACAAUAAUGGGAAAAAGAAAAAGAAUUUAUAAGUAGAAGGCAUUCCAUGCAAGUCAAUAUAUGAGUGUACAGUCCAUUUUCAUUUGAAAAAGAAAAUUACAAAUGCAAGAAGAGAAGGACAGAGCAGUAAAGGAUAUAGGGGACAAGUGAAUUCAGCCCUUUCUUGACCACUAGGUCCACAUUUUAAUGUAUUUAUUUCGCAACAAAGUAGCUAAUUAUAUUAAUUUCAAGAAAAUCUCUUCCAAAGAGUUUAACUUGACUGCAAUAUCCGUAGACAACCAAAAUGUUUAACUUGAGAGUGAAACCAAAACGGUAGAAAGAGGAAAUGUGCACUCUUGCUCAUUCAAGGUAAAAUGAGGUGCCAUUCAACAACUUCUAUAACACAAACAGGAAUUAUCUCUCUCAAUGCAUGGAAAACAUGACUCACAAAUCAAGAAAAUUCAGUUUGUUCUUGAAUCUGGAAGUCAAGGAAGUGAAGUAGCUCCCAUUUUGCUAAAUUCAGAGCAAGAUUUUGAGUGACUUAGAAAUACUAUUCCACAUUGAAGUUGGUCACUGGUUUGAAGCCAAUUAUGCAAAAUAAAUAAAUACAUAUCCAGGAUAUCACUUUGAUUUAGAACUGUACUAUUGUUUACCAAAUAAUACAUGACAAGUGCAUUAAUCUUCACAGAUCCUGAUUAAAAGUUUAAAGAAAAACAUCUAUGAUUUUGGAACAAUCUGUUCUCAGAAACUUACAGUGCCAGUGAUCCCUUGAAUCAACUUCGGAGUAAUGGACACAAGAACAGACUGUGCAACAGAAAGUGAAGGAACUUCGGCAACAAUUGUCUUCAUAGCUAUGCUAGCAAUAUCACGAUGCUGGUCUUUUAAAUUAAGCAGCUUAUCACAAAGCUUAUUAGUCAUAUCCAACACUUGUUGCUCAUGGAUUUUCUUAACCAAAGGAGCAAGGCUGAAAGUUAAGAUCAACACAAUAAAUGAAAAACAACCACAACAGUAACCCUUCAUUAAACAUCAUCAAUGCUGCAACACAAUGUAACCUAGUCUCAUAAGAGUCAAACUAAACAAAUACAAUGAAAAGAUGGCACAUGCCAAUAAGUACUUUGACUCGAUGAAUGAAAAGCAAUCAGAAAACAGCCACAACAGUAACCCAUCAUGAAACAAAAUCGGUCUUGCAACACAUGAAGGUACUCUCAUCUCACAACAGUCAAAGCAAACCAAAACAAAGAAAUAACAACGCUUGCCAACAAGUACUUUAACUCAGCCUCUCUCAUCCAUCGAAAAGCGAAAAAAAUGUUGCAAAGAAGAUAGACUAUUGAGAGAACUACCAGAAUCCUCCACUGUAGAUUGGUAAAGCAAUCCAAUGUUCCAGAAUUGAGAGAAAAUGAAUUAAGCAUGGAUUAACAAUCUAUCACCGUGAAAUUAAUAUGUUUAAAAUACUUGACUGAAUGUAAUGCUAAGGAUGAAACUAAACAUUAUGACCAUUGAAUAUAUGUAAAUGGUCAAAUUAAAGAGAGAUGAACCUCAUUCCCCAUCUUGGGUUAUGGAUGAACUUUUUGCCGACUUAUUGGCAAUUAUAAGCAGAAAUAUGUAAUCAAAAAAAUAAUUGGCUGAGAUGAGAAAACAUUAUGGCAUUGCUUUCUGCCUCAAAAAAAGCUUUAGGACAAUAGCAACAUUCUGUGGGUGCAGGAAGAUUCCUGAUGAACUAUCCAAUUAUAACAUAUACCCUUGAGAGUUCAGAGCAGCUUUUUGGCAGUUGAAGAAUUAAUUAUCUCCUUUGGCUAGUUAGCCUAUAAAUUCUACCAUCAUUCACUUCCCCAUUUGCCACUGUUCCUCGAAGUCCAUAGAAUUCCACUUAGAUAAAUAUUCUAACCUAGGGUUAUUAGCACUUUCAGAUGUGCUCUGAUUCCUGUUUGAUUAUUACAACUUGCCUUUUGUUUAAGUUUCAACUCAUAAAACGUUGGGGCCACUGCCAAGUCAUCCCAUAUUCAAGGUUUUCUCUUGAUCUUUUAUAUAUAAAUAAAGAACUCAUCAAUCAAAGUAUCUCUCUAAUGCUUAUGCCUUUGCCAUUGCGGAUCCGCAUGAAAUUACUGAAGGAGUAGGAGGCAGGAUAGUACUUUUGCCUGGUAAUGGUGAGUUCCUAUGAACAACCCGCUCAACAAUUAACUACAAUGUAUAUGAAACAAAAUAAGUUCAACCAAAGAAGCUCAGAUGAAUGUCCAGUUUCCAAUUUCUCAUUCUCCACUAAGUUUCCCAGUAAGCCAGCAAUUUAGCAACCCGAUUCUUAAAGCCAAUUGUUUCUUUGAAAUUUCCAGAAAUUCGGAACAUGCUAUAACUACGCAAAGUCACAAUGUUCAUAUGUAAUUAAAAUCAUGGUAUAUAUAAAGGCUCAAAGACCUAAAUCAUUGCUAGCACAUAGAAACCUCAUGCAUCUAGCAGUAGAUACAACCGCCACUCAAAUCCAAAGAACAGAAAUUAGAAGUUGUCAACUGCCAGACAAAUAAAGAAAUUCUUUUGUUCAUUUCUCAAAAAAGCUAUCUCAACAAAUGCAUUGCACAAAACAAAAAGUCUUGUAAUGGGAGAAGGUGCAAAUUUUGCAAAUAUUACUAGCUGCAGAAUUACCAUUUUACAGCUAAUCCAGAGACAUCACCAGCCACAUCAUCAAGCUGCUGCAGAACAAUAUUUGACAACUUCCCCUCUAGCUCGACAUCAAGUUUAAAUCCCUCCUUGUUUAAUUCAUUUAGCAAAUCAGAUGUUGCCAUGUAUCUGUAAUCCUUAUCCUUCCCAGUCAUCUGCACCAAUAUAUCAAGUAAGCAAGCAAUAUCCAGCGAAACUUUGAAAGGAGAAACCCACAGCGAAAUCAGACACAUAGAUACAGAUGGAAAGAACGGACCACCUUUUGGAAGAUGGAAAGUAAAGGGGCCUAGAAUUUGAACAUACAAGAAAACAGACUGACUAGUUACCUUUUCAAGUAUGCCAGUUAUGGUGAGAUUCGCCGCCAUUUUAAGGAACCUGAUGAACUAUAAUCCCGGAAAUAAGAUUAACCUGCAGAACAAAACCCUUAGAAAAUCAAAAAAAUCAAAGAAGAAACAAGCAAAUGGCUGCAGGGGUUAGAACCACAUAUUUACUAAUUGUAAACAGCAUGAACCAUUAUCCAGAUAAUUAAAGAUUAAAAACAGUACCAAAACCAAACUAUUUUAGAUAAAGGAGAUGGAAGUCAUUAAUGUCAAAAUAAACCAACUGAAAUAGAGGCUGAGCUGAAAGUAUAGAAUAACCAAGUGACAGGCAAGUGUAUACAUGGAGAAGUCCCGAUGUACAUGGAGAGUCGUAUGCAUCUAACUCUAAAAGCUGACAUCAUGGAAGCAGUCCAACAAGAUCCUUUAAUCACACAACCAACUCUUUUUAGAUUAAAAUUUUUCACUUGCGUGCCUUUAGAAUUACAGUAAUAAUUGAGCAUACAAAAUUUAAAUGUACGAUCAUUAUGAGGUCUGGAAUUUGCACCAUGUAAAACCCAUAUAACCCACAGUAAGAAAAAGAUCAAACACAACCAUCCCAGACAUGUCAACAUAGCCCGGGAGGCCUCUGCCCUUAAAAUCCUUUAAGUACUCAUGAUUAAUAUUUUAAAAGUGAUUCCCUGUUGAAUACUAAAACUAAAACAAUUCCUUUUAUUUCGAUUUGGAUUUACUUUUUCAGCUCUUCCCUGCCGUAUGAAAAGAACUCCAUAAAGAACAUAAUUGCCAUUUACACCUUUCAGUCCACAGAAGUUUCCAAAAUAUUGAAAGUCUACACCAGAUUGAGUAAAUAUAAUUUGGAUUUGUUGUCUUGAAACUGCCGCAUUAAGGAUGUUGUUGUGCUAUUCAGCUUCAACUUAGCAUGUAUUUAAUGCAAUCUAUAUCUUAUUCCAAAUAGCAUAUCACAUCUUUUAACUACUGCUUCUCUCAAAUUAGGGCCCUUGCUUUAAAACUAUCAUCGUAUCGGAUAUGCCCCAUGGGUCUUAAUAGAGACUCACAGACUACCCAUUGCCCGCCCGACGCCAGUCAACAUGACUUUAACAAAUCACUAACCAAAAUCCACAAGGUAAAUAAAUUUAGAUAGACCAACGGUUUGUCCAUGAAAAAUAAAAUUUAACUCAAAUUAAAUGUUCAGAGACCUCAUUCUGUUAUCAACCAAAGAACUAGACAAGAGGGUUCUGUAUAUCCCUUCAUCUAGCAUUGUAAGCAAAGACUGCCCCACGUACAAUAGCAUAUGACCCACAAAACAUAAUUAACCAUUAACCACAGUUUCAGAAGUCUUCAAAACACAUAAAUUAGCAUAUAAUCAAAAACAACAGAAGAAAAUUAUGCUUCUUAAGGAACGUAAAAACAAACACUUGAUGGAUGGUAAGAAUAGUAAAAAGAUCAGUAAACAGCUUCUAUGAAUUCUCAACCAUUGCCCUAAAAACCAAUCGAUAAUCACAAGGACGAGCUGAACUAUGAACCAAAAAAAAAAAUUUUUAAAAAAAACGCAUUCAUAAGUUUUAAGUGAAAGCGAACAUAAAAGGAAAUGAACGCCUACCUUGAGUAUCACGGCCAAAAAUAAAAAAAUAAAAAAAGGCAGAAAACGCAGGCUUGCGCUGUGGUUGUAUAGAUAAAAUAUGCGGAAUUGAUCGGUUUGGAUUGUUUCCCGGAGCUGUUAAACCCUACCAGUACAAUGCGUAACAGUUUGCAGGCAUCAGACUGAGACUGUGUAGACUGCGUGUAGUGCGUGUGAGUGAGGUUUUAGAGAAAGAAAACAGAAAUUGACGCAAGAAGCGAUGACCGUCUUUAGCUUGGCCGCACCUUUUUUUAUUAUUUUAUUGAAAGAGAAGAGAAGAGAUGAGAGACAGGUGGGGCGGUCGCGGUGGGCUAUGGCUGAAGGAGAGGGAAGGAAGACAGGGACUCCGAGGUUACAGAUUGAUCGAGGAAAGUUUCUAAAAACUUCACAUCGGCCCAAUGUCGUGUCCGGGUCGGGUUUUUUCAAAGUUUUUCAAAUUUAAAGGCAUGUUUGGAACCUGAGUUUUUUGUGAGUUUGUCUAAAACUUUACUGUAGUGCACUGUAGAAGUUGUUAAAAAAAUUUUGUAGAAGUUUUUGUAAGGUGAAAAAUUUUUUUGUAUAGUGAAAAACUUUUUUUUCCUUUUCUUUUUUUCUUUUUCUUUUUCUCUUUCUUUUUCUUUUUCUUUCUUUUCUUUUUCUUUUCUUUCUUCUUCUUCUUUUUCUUCUUCUUCCCCGUUACCUCCCGGCAGCAACACCCUUUCCCCCUUCUCCCGCCCACUGCCUCCCCCGCCUCUGCCUCCCCCGCCUCUGCCCUCCCUUUCCCCCUUCCCCCGCCCACUGCACUGCCCUUCCCCAGCCACCCCUCUGCCCUCCCUUCCCCUUUCCCCCUUCCCCCGCCACCCCUCUGCCCUCCCUUUCCCCUUUCCCCUGCCCACUGCCGUCUGCCGUGCCCUUUCCCCAUCCAUUGCCCUCCCUUUGCCCUUUUCCUCCCCUCUGCCCUUCCCCUGCAGCCCAGCCGCACCAGACGCUCUCGCAGGCCCAGGCUCGCGACCAGACGCAGCCCAGGCUCAGCUUUUCCUCUUCUCCACAGUGCACCAAAUGCAGCUGAGGCUCGUGUCCCAGCCGCAACGCACGCGCAGGAUGAGGGACGAUACGACGGUGGUGCCGGGUUGGGAUGGGGGAGGAAGUAGGAAAAAAGGGAAGGGAAUUUUUUUUUGUGUGUUUUGGGUAUUUUGAAGUGUGUAGGAAAAAAAUUUUGAGAAGUUUUUUGGGGUUCCUGUAGCAAAAGUUGUUAAAAAACUAGUAGGUAAAAAACUUGUCUAAAAAACUGGCUUCCAAACAGGGCCUAAGUGUAUCCGAGCCAGGUUUUUUUUUUCAAGGGUUAUUAUCACUUUACGCCCUUAACGUUUGGUACUACUAUCAAUUUCCCCCUUAACGUUAUCUUUUAGUCACUUUACCCCCAAGACUAACGGUCAAACUUAACGAAAUUUGUUAAUUAAAGUGAAAAGAUAUGUUUAACCCUUAAAAUUAUUAUCACUUUACCCUCAUAAAUAUAGUCUCGUUAUCAAUUUACCCCAUAGAGUUAUUUUUUAGAUAAUUUAUUCUACCAUUAAACCAACUUAGCAAGUUAAAAAACUUUAGAAGAAAAUACCCUUGUCUUUACAUAAUAAAAAUAGUAAAAAAUCUAGAGUGACUCUUCUCCUUUUUAAUAUCAAGAAAAAAAGUCAAAAUAUUAAUUUUUUUUCUUGACAAUUUUAUUACAAUUGAAAAAAAAUAGAAAGACGGAGAGGGAGAGGAGGAGAGAGAGAACUCAAUUCUUUUUUUAAAAAUUACAAAUAAGAAAGAAUUAAAUACUUUUAUUAUUUUAAAAAUAUUUCACUUUUUUGUUUACCACUAAAUUUCAAUUCUAAUCCCGACAAUCUUAAAGUAAUACGAUAAUGUUAUACUUUUCUUUAUUUUAUUUUUUUGCAAAAUCUAAUUUUUUGUCUCCUUCUUUCCUAUAUUAAUUAAGUGCGAAAAAAGAAAUUUGAGAAAAUUCUUUUAUUUUUAUGUUUUUCGAUCUCUUAAAGUGAAAAAAAAAAGGAAGAAUAACCAUUCUAACUUUUUAUUUUUAAUUAUAUAUAAAAAGGGUAAAUAUAUUUAAAAUUUUUUGACCAUACUAGUUAGAUUAAUGAUAAGUAAAAUGCCUAAAAAUAAUGUUAGGAACUAAAAUGAUUGUAUCACUAUAAUUCAAACGAAUAAAGUGAUAAUAACAACGUAGUAAUGCUAUAAAAUAAAAAGAUAUUUUUGUCCAAAAUUUAUUAACAUGCUGAGUUGAAUUACUUAUAGGAGUGAAGUGACUAAAAGAUAACGUUAGGGGGUAAACUGACAAUAGUGAUAUAGUUUAAAGGAGUAAACUAAUAAUAACCCUUUUUUUAAUAUAAGAUGAGAUAAUUUGAUAUUUUCAGGUUGCUAAGCAACCAGUGUGUACCAAAUUGAGACUAAUCGAUACACAAAUUGUAGAUUUUUCUUAACAAAAAAAAAUUGUGUACCAAGUGUGUUUUUUUUUUUUUUAAGUGGGAGGCCUACUGAAUACCAAGUUGUUUAUGUAUAUACCGUUAUUCUUUUUUAAACAAGGAGAGAGAGAGAGAGAUAUUUAUCGAUGCUAAGAUUGCUGCCUACUUGGGAUUAAUCACUUAUGGUUCAUUUGGAUUCUUGUUUUUGGGCUUGUUUUUGAAAAACUGUUUUUCACAAUCCAAAUGCUACAGUAAAUGUGUAUUUCAAAAACAACUCCAAAAACACCAUAUCCAAACAAUAUAUCAAAAACAACUCCAAAUACAUAUUUAAUAUGUUUAUUUCAAUUUAUAUAUUUCAAUUAUGUAUAGGAUAUCUAUAUAUUAUAUUAAUUUAAAUAUAUUUAUUUAUACAUAUUAUAAAUAUUUUAUUUUAUAUAAAAUAUAUUUUUAUAUUUUUAUAUAAAUAUUAUAUAUUAUAUAAAUUAUAAAUGUGUUAUUAUACAUUUAUAUAAAUGUUAUAUAUUAUAUAUAUAUUUAAUAUAUACAUAAUAUAUAUUAUAUAUAUUGAACAUUUAUAAAAAUGUACAUUUAAACAUAAUAUAUAUAUUUAUGUAUAUUUAUAAUAUACACUUAUAUUAUGUAUUAUAUAUAAUAUAAUACAUUUAUACAUUUAUAUUAAUAUACAUAAUAUUAAUUAUAAAUUUAUACAUAAUAUUAAUAAAUUUAUACAUUUAUAUUUAUUACAUUAAUACAUUUAUGCAUAGUAUUAAUAUAUAUUUAUAAUAUAUUAAUUUAUACAUUUAUAUAAUAUUCAUUUAUAAUUUAUACACAUUUAUAAUAAUAUACAUUUAUACAUUUAUAAAUAUAUUUAUAUUAUGUAUUAUAUAUAAUAUAAUACACUUAUAAUACAUUUAUAUAUUUAUUUAUAAAUAUAAUAUAUAAUAAAUAAAUAUAAUACACUUAUUUAUUUAUAUAUAAUAUAUAAAUUUAUUUAUAAAUAUAAUACACUUAUUUAUUUAUACAUAAUAUAUAAAUAUAUUUAUUUAUAAAUAUUUAUAAUUGUAUUAUAAAUGCAUAAAUGUAUAUAAAUAUAAAAACAUAAAAAUUAUAAAUUAUAAAUUAUAAUAUACAUUUAUAUAAUAUACAUUUAUAAUUUAUACACAUUUAUAAUAAUAUACAUUUAUAAAUAUAUUUAUGUUAUGUAUUAUAUAUAAUAUAAUACACUAAUAAUACAUUUAUAUAUUUAUUUAUAAAUAUAAUAUAUAAUAAAUAAAUAAAUAUAAUACACUUAUUUAUUUAUAUAUAAUAUAUAAAUUUAUUUAUAUAUAUAAUACACUUACUUAUUUAUAAUAAUAUAUAAAUAUAUUUAUUUAUAAAUAUUUAUAAUUGUAUUAUAAAUGCAUAAACGUAUAUAAAUAUAAAAACAUAAAAAUUAUAAAUUAUAAAUUAUAAUUUACAUUUAUAAUUUAUAUAUUUAUAGUAAUAUACAUUUAAACAUUUAUAUAUAAAUAUAUGAAUAUAUUUAUUCAUAAAAGUAUAAAUAUAUUUAUUUAUAAAUAUUUAUAAAUGUAUUAUAAAUGCAUAAAUGUAUAUAAAUAUAAAAAUUAUAAAUUAUAAUUUAUACAUUUAUAUAAUAUUCAUUUAUAAUUUAUACAUUUAUAAAUAUAUUUAUAUUAUGUAUAUUUUUAUAUAAAUAUAUUUAUUUAUAAAUAUUUAUAAAUGUAUAAUUGUAUAUUGUUAUAAAAAUUUAAAAAUUAUACAUUAUAAAAAUACUCGAAAAUAUGUUUUAAAAAUACAUCUAAAAAUAAUCCAUAAAACAUCUACAGUAAAAGUUUUUUAUAUAAUUUUUGAAAAACAACCCCAAAAACAACUAAUCCAAACGGACUUGUAUUUGAAAAACGAAAUGCUACAGUGCUGUUUUUGAAAAACAACCCCAAAAACAGCUAAUCCAAACGGACCCUUAGUUUAGAUAUACAAAUUUAAAUUUACCUCGUUUAAAAACACAAUAAGAUUUAUUGAAUUUCAUAAAGUGUAUCCAAAGAUUUGUCACGUCUUCAUCAUAGUUCCAACAAUUUCAAUUACAGUGUAAUAUUGGAUUAUAAAUAUCUGAACCCUCCAAAGCAACUUCAAUUUCUCUUAUUUGAUGUUCCCCUAAAACAAAAUGAAACUUAGUCACUUGUGUGGAUUUAUCAUAAUUGCUUUUGUGUCCAUUUAGCUUGAUGGAAAAAAAAAAAGAAAACAAAAAGGAAAAAAAUCUAGAGUAAACUCAUAAUUGGCAAACAAAAAUAAAAAUUUCUAUAUGUUUCCUUCACUUUUGUAAGUGAAGAUGCAUACUUCAAUUUUACGAAUUUCAAUUGUUAAAAUACUGCAUGAUACCCUUUAAAUUGUUUCAACCAAAUGGUUGUACUUUUUCUUUCCCCUUAUCCGAUGGGCGUUUGGAAUCAUUUUAAAGUGACAGAUCACAUACAGUGACAGAUGGUGGGAGGCAAAGUUUGAACCUUGACCUCCCACCCCACCAAAGCCUGCCAUUGAAUGAAAAGAUAGUCAAACAAUAAAAGGAAUAAGAGAAACUACAGACCCCAGAUGGCAUGAAAGCCUUAAUUCGUUUGACAAACAAAUGUACAACCACAAGAAGCAAAUGAGAAGCAUGGAAAACUCCAGUAAUGGAAUUCCAUUAAAUGACGCUGCAACAGUUAUUGAACUCACAAUAGCUCAUUAUCACAAGAAUUACAAACGAAGCCCCAGAUCAGGCUGGAAGAGAUGAACCUACAGUAGUGCUGUAGUGGCAAACUUGCUUUUAUUUGCUAGCAUGGUAUUGUAAUAGGAAACUGCCUCUUCCAGAGAGGUUUGAUUUGUAAUAAUGCACAAAGGAAUGA